Molecule: long non-coding RNA, 50741 nt
Filed under: Cicer arietinum (chickpea)
Lineage: Eukaryota; Viridiplantae; Streptophyta; Magnoliopsida; Fabales; Fabaceae
Description: long non-coding RNA (CARI_LNC003375)
Source: RNAcentral
AACACCAAUUCUUGCUAUUAUGGAAAAUAUGUCAAAAAUGUUAAUGAAGUUAAUAGGGUUACUUUUAAUCAUUGCAGGUGCUAUGGUUGUUAAUGCAGAUAUACCACCAUGUUGUGAUUUUGGUGGUUCAAUGUGCGAACCAAUUGCAUGUACGUAGUAAUAUUGCUAUUAAUAUUAACUCUUAGUGGUUUUUUUUUUAAGAAAGUGGAGUUUUCUUUUCAUUUAUAUGGCACACAAGCAGCUUCCUCUUAACUUUUGGGAGUUUUCUUUUAAUUAAAAUAAAAAGUAAUUAUACUAAAUAUUGUUAUUUGGCUUAAUAAUCUAGCAUAUAUAUAUAUAUAUAUAUAUUAUAUUUGAUCAUUACACAUGAUUCCAAACAAGUUAUCAUAAAUGUAGGUGGUAAUAAAAUGGAUUUGAGAACACUGUCAUUCUUACUCAAUAUUUUCAUGCAAUGAAACAUUUCUUUAACCAUCAUUUAUGUGUCAUAUAUUCAUCAAGCUGUAUAUAAUUAGGAGUCAACAAAAUUCUAAAAAGAAUAUUAUGAAGCUUUUGUAUAAUUAGGGAAAAGUGAAAGAAAAAUAGUAAUAAAGAAGACAUCAUUGUACAAUAUAAGUGCAAGUUGAAGCUAAACUAAAACUAAAAUGGUACAAAGUUAUUUGAUUCACACAUUAUAAUAAUCCAAAGCGAUUUUUAAUAAUCCUCCGCUUCGUAAGAGAAUGAGACUCUACUAAUUUAGAUUUUAAUCGAAAAUUAAAUAAAAUUCUUUUAAAAAUUGUUACAAUUAUAUAAUUAAAUUUCGUUGAUUUCUAAAGUGUGAAAUUAUUUUGACAUUGUGAUACAUCUAUAUCAAACCGUAUUUUUGGCAAUAUUAGGAGACUUUAGCUUUUGUCAUGCUGAGUAAGGCAUUUUAAAGUAAUGUAUAGACACAUUCAACUUACCAUUCCCUUCUCCAUCUAUAAGUAAUGCAUUUCAAAGUAAAAUUGCGCACAUGUGAUAUUUAACUUAUAUAUAGUGGCUUUUGCUUUUAACAAAGUGCUUAUUUCUUUUAAUUUUUAUCAUGUUUAUCCUACUCGCAAAGUUGGUUCACAGUUCUUCUUACUUAGGAAUUCCUCUGCCAAAAACAUCCAAUUGUCAAUUACUUUCCUAUUACCAAGAUGGUACUAUUCUAUAACAAAUGACAUUAUUUUCACUUAAUUACAAUUCUCAAGUUGGUGUCAUUUGAAAUUUAAUUUCAUGUAUUUUUUCGUCUAUACCACUUCUAUUUUUAAUAAAAAGUUUGGACUAUGAUUAUUUCAACUAAAAUUUAAAUUAUUUUAGAUAAUUUGUCAUUAAAUGAAGUUGAUUCGUUAUUUUAGUCCAAUCACUUUAUUUAAGUUGACGUACUAAAUACUACAAUUAAUUAAACCUAUUCCACUAAAUAUUAUUUAAUUAUUAAUAUUUUAUUUUAUUAUAGUAGAAUUUUUAUAGAAUAGUGACUCUGAAAUGUGACCAUAGGUGGUCUUAGAUUGCUAUUGCUUUGUUUUGUGCCUCAAUCUAUAAUUAUACCCACUAUGUUAUGGCAUGAUUAAUAGCUAUGUACUUCUAUUAGUAUCAAGUAGUUCUUUUACGGCUUAUAAAUAAAAAAGUAGUUCUUUUACACUCUUUGCUAUUAAGGUUAAUAGAGAAUCUUAUCUCUUUCCAACUUACUCAAUGGUUUCUGAAGUGGUUAUUAUUCUUAUUAAUUAUUAAUUCUAGCUCUUUAUUUUGCAGUGAAUUUGCUUUAACAUUGUCAUCAUCGAUCCAUGUAUGAAAUUGUUAUUUGGUUAUGUAAGUUAAAAAAGUUUUAAAAACCAAACUAUAUAUCUAUAUAUAUAAAUUAACAAAUAAAAUGGUUAUUGAUCAAAUCACAAGCUGUGUCAUGAAAUAGAUAUGUAUCUUAUUUAGUGUCAUAAAGACGUGGUUGAAUUGCUUCAUUUUUCAACAAUGGUCAUAACAAACUUUUUGCAUGCGAUGCAUUGUUAGUGGUAUACACUCUGUGUGCUAACAAUAAUUUAGAUUCCAAGGGAAGCUAGCAAUCACUCAUUUGAAGAUAUUGUGACCAAUCGAUUUUGAUUAAACGGUUUAAAAAGAUGCACAAUUUUAUAAUUUAAAAUAUUGAAUUUGAAUUUACAUUUGAACCGUCCGAUUUAAGAUCAAACGACUACGAUAUCUCAAAUGUUUGUGAAUGCGACAAUUAUUGAAUGUAGUGGAGCUGUGAUCCUUUGCUACCAAUGCUUUUAGUAAUAUGUUUAAUAAAUGAAUAAAAUCAUUUCUAAUAUAUUUAAUAUAUAAAAAAUAUUUAAAAUUGUUUGUAAAUAUAUAUGAUUAUGAACCCUGAAAUACAGAAAAAUAGUAUUAUUUAAAUAUUAAAAUAUAUUUAUAAAUCAAUAGUAAUGAUAUCGAAUUAAAUGAUGAUGAGACUUAAUUUUUAUAUAUUCAAUUCAGUAGUGUCAUACAUAAAAAUGUUACUUCAUAAAAAUUGAGAGAAUCGAUAAAUUUCAAAAAUUAUAAAAUAAAACAACCAAAAACCUAAUUUAAAAAAUGAAAGAAUUAAAAAUCAAAUUUAAACAAAAAUGAUAGAUUUAAAAUGUAUUUAAGUCUUUUUUUAACAAAAGAGUACAUUAACAAAAAAAUUGGUCUCAUAUUUAAUCUAAAACGUUGCAGUUCUAUAUAAGUUUUUGACGUUAUUUACUAUUAUAUUUACUAUUAUAUUUAUAUAUCAAAAUUGAAAUUGCACAUAUUAUGUGUUUGAUGAAAUGUCACAACAGAAAUAGAUUACUCCAAAAAACAAAGUGUGUCUUUCAAUUAGGUGAUCAAAUGUGACAUUACAAAGAUCACUUGGAGUGAAAGCGCGCUUACAACAAUAGUCAAUUUGAUUGUAACUUGAUAGAUAAAAAGACAGUAGAUUCUCUCUUUUCUUUGUAAUUGAUUGUGAGCAGAAGACUUUUCUAGUUAGUUAAUUCGGUUAUAAUAUAUUGCUAGUUUAAUAGUACAAUUUGAGUCUCUAGUCACUCUUUGUAAUCCAAUGACGAUGUUAUGUUAAAAUUUAAUUUUAGAUCCCCUUAUAUUAAGUGGGUGGAGGUUAUUCCAAACCCUUUGUUUUAAUUUGAUUAUAAUCCUUUUGAAAUUUUCUUUUAAAUGAAUUUAUGUUUAACGUAAAAAAAAAUUUGCACUUCUCACCUAAUCUAAAUCAUUAUAAAAUUUAUUUUAAAACAUUAAAUAAAUUUUUUUUAUGAAAAAAUAAUUUAUAUUUUUAUUAUAUAAUAUUUAAUAAUGGCAUAAUUUAAUUAUACCUUAUUUACGAACAUAUAAAAGUUUAUAAGAAAUUUGAUCUAUGGGUUAAAUUAACAAAAGUGGUGCUGGAAAAUGGGUGAACUUUUAUUACAUUAUUACUAAGGAUCCUAUUGAUACACAAUGUCUACUAUGAUUAUAAUGAAAAUAUACAUUGUAAUAUUAAUAUGGAAAAUAGUAAAUUAAUAGCAAAUGCCUAAUAAUUAAUUAGUUUGAAGUCUAAAAGCCAGGAUCGUAUGGAAUGCCACUGAAAGGCAACCAAGUUAUGGCAUUAUAGUUGAAAAUGACAUGGUUGAAAAUUCAUUGAUGUCAGAAACCAUAGUGCAUAGACCAAAAGGAAUCUCUCUGUAUAAUUGGUUACUAAUUUCUGCAUAAAAUCAAAAUCAAAUUAAACUCAACUUAUAUAUGCAUUAUGCAUUAGUCACCAACAUUGUGGCAUAAUUACUCCAUUUUAAUUCCAUUUUUGUUUCAAGUUUUUAAUUGUUCGUCGCGAUUUCUGAGACUGAGAGUUAAUCACACACUACAAAAAAAUUGACCUAUCGUGACACACAAAAUGUUUCACUAAAAGUUAAAAACUGUAGGUAAAAGUCAAUAAUACUUUGAGUGACACUCAAAUCUAGUGUCAACUUUAAGGGGCGUCACUACAUGGUCUGAGAAUUGUCUCUAGAUGUUUUUAAUUUCUACCUACAAUAAUGACUGUCACUAAAACGUAGAUAAAUAUAAAUAAAGAAUUAGUCUAUUCCUACGGUAUUAUCUGUCACUAACACUUAGAAAAAUAUAAAUAAAAUAUUAAUCUAUUCCUACGGUAUGUCUGUCACUAAAACGUAUUAUUAUUUAUUAAAUUAUAUUUUUUUUAUCUCCCUGCUAAUUGUAAUUCUAAACUAUUAUUACCAGUAAAUCAAAUUUAAAUUUUUAAUUUAUUUUUAAUUUAUUUUUAUUAACUAAUGUCAUUGAAACAUACAAUAAAAUAUAAUUUAACUCUAAAAGAUUCAAUAAAGUUUCAAAGGAAACUAAAAUGAGUUCCUUAUCAAAGGAAACCAAAUGUAAAUUAUAAGAAAUAGGUACAAGAUUAAGGUAUUCAAAGAAAUUAAAAAUAUAAUUAUAUUUUGCAUAAGAAAAAAUAUCCAUAGCCACUCCAACAAGAACUAAAAUUAUAUUUAAUAAAGAUGAAUGAAAUAUAUUGUUUGCUUUUGAUAACAAGUGCAGAGUCUUGAACAAGUGCAGAUACAUCUUUUAGCAAAUGCCAAAUCUGCUUUAACGGUCUUUAGCUCACGAAGAAGUAAUUUUGCUUUUGCAGCUGUUGCCAUUGCCACCUGUAACCAAAGUAAAAGGAAAUGUUGCUUGUUGGGUUACAUGAGAAACUUAAACAGUUAACUCAAAUAAACAAUCAGCAUAAACUCAAUUUUCUAUUCACUAUUACGUCAAAAGCAACGGUUUAAACUAAGAGUCCUGCAUCAAAAUCAAGAAGAGUUUAAUAUCUGUACAUUGAUAUCUUAUACAAGUUUUACAUAUACAUCUAUUUAUACUAUGGUAAGAUAAUAUAAAAUAUGAUUAGAAGUCUAUUAUAUAAGCUAUAGGUUUCUGCAUUGAGUGAAGACUAUUGACAAUUCAAAAAUUAUUAUUAGAUGUUCUAUCGUCUAUGCCUUCACUACAAGAACUAGCGAGGCCUCAACCGUUACACAUGAUUACAAAGUUGGCACCUUACGUCGCGUGAUGCCUUGAGUUGUGUUUAGUGGCGAGAAUGAGACUUUGUCAGAUCGGAUUGCGGCCAUGGAUUCCUCACAUCUGAAGCUUGGUUUAUGUCCUCCGGUCCAUUUCCUUUUUCGCCUUAUUUGAGAUCUCAGAUCUGCUGUCUUACUCUCCACAAUUGUUUUGCUGUCCUGAAGAAAUGAAAGAAGUAACAUGAAUUAAAGAAAGCAAAGAAAUGAAACACAAACAUACAUGGACACCGAACAUGACACACAAACAAACAGUAUAUGUGGUUCAUAGAGACAGAGUUACCUCAAAAGCCUUCUCAAAUGUGUCACCUAAGUGAUUGAGAGAAGAUUUGAUUGCAUCCAAUCCCUUUCUAAUUGUAGGAUUGUCCAUUUUUUUAUUAGAGUCAGGAGAUUGAUACAAUGGCUGCAAUAAGCAUGCCAAACCAAAAACACACCAAUUAGUUGAACAUAUAUUUAUGCAACAUUAUAUUAUACCACGAUUCAUAUCAUAUCACAUCCUUGAAUUGCAUAGAACAUAAUAAUAAAAUCACCUGAGUUGAAAACGGACUAGUAAAGGUAUUAAAUGAGUGUGAUUUGAGUGUUUGUGGCAAUGGCAUGGUGUCAUGUUGUGGAGGAGGAGCUGAAUUUUUAUCAUCCAGAAUUGAUUUGGCUUUAUGAGCCAAUACACCCCAAAAACCAGACUUGGUGUUGUCAUUUCCAUAAGCAUCAAAACUCUGCAUCAAUGCAUUCAUUCAUUCAUUAUAUUCAAUCUACAAUUUAUAUUUCAUUUGUUCAAAUCUCUAUGUAUGUAGUACACCUCUGUUUCACUGAGAAAAAUGUCAGAAAAAUAAAAUAAAUGUUUGAAUAAUGAAUAAGAAGCAAAUCUUUUGGAUGAUAUAAUCUAGACUAGUACAACAUGACAAUCUUCUAUGUAUGUAGUACUGUAAGAUGAAUGAAUGAUUUUUGUUGCCACGUGUUUUGUUACACAUUCAGAACAAAACGAAUGGCAACAUUUCUGGUUCUUGAACAUUUCAUCAACCACCUUCGCUUCCACACAAAUUUCGCUUUGGCUGAAGGAGAACAGUGAGAACGGCGAGAAGGAGAAGAGAAUGAUUGGGGCUCAGAUUGGGGCUAAAAUUAGGGCUCAGAUUGGGUGAAAGAGGAACAAUUUUGAGUUUUAGGUGUUUUGAUGAGAAAGGGUUUAGUUGGUACUUGGUAUUUGGCUCUAUUAAUUUUUAUUUUGGCUCUAUUAAUUUUUAUUUUGGCUCCAUUAAAAUUUGUUUUUGCCUCCAUUGAAAAAAUUUGGAUUUUAUCUCAAUUUAUUUUUUUUUACCUCCAUUGAAAAAAUUAAGAUUUUGGCUCUAUUGAAAUUGGGUGCAUUAAAAAAAUUAGGAUUUUGCCUCCAUUAAAUUUUUUUUUGACUUAAAUUGUGAAAGUUUUGUACAAUUUUAUUUUCACAAACAAUUAAUAUUUUGGCUCCUUUAAAAAAUAUAUAUUUUUCAAUUUGAUGCCUAUAACCACAGAUUUAAGUGUGUAACUAUAAUCCUUAGUGACAAAUUUAUGUCACUGAAGGUAUAAGACACCUAUACCAACAAAAAUUAAUUUAUCUGUGGGGAUAGAUUGUCUAUGUCACUGAAGGUAUAAGACACCUAUACCAACAAAAAUUAAUUUAUCUGUGGGGAUAGAUUGUCUAUGCCUACAGUUUUUAAUUUUGUCAUUAUAAGCUUCUGUAGGUAUAUGUCUGUUUUCUUGUAGUGUAAAGACGUGGUUGAAGCUUCAUUUCUCAACAAUGGUCAUAACAAACUUUUUUGCAUGCGAUGCAUUGUUAGUGGUACACACUCGCUGAGUGCUAGCAAGAAUUUAGAUUCCAAGGGAAGCUUGCAAUCACUCAUUUGAAGAUAUUGUGAUUAAUCGAUUUUGAUUAAACGGUUUAAAAAAAUGCACAAUUUUAUAAUUUAAAAUAUUGAAUUUGAAUUAACAUUUGAACCAUCCUAUUUAAGAUCAAACGUCUACGAUAUCUCAAAUGUGUGUGAAUGCGACAAUUAUUGAAUGUAGUGGAGCUGUGAUCCUUUGCUACCAAUGCUUUUAGUAAUAUGUUUAAUAAAUAAAUAAAAUUAUUUCUAAUAUAUUUAAUAUAUAAAAAAUAUUUAAAAUUGUUUGAAAAUAUGAUUAUGAACCCUGAAAUACAGAAAAAUAGUAUUAUUUAAAUAUUAAAACAUAUUUAUAAGUCUUAUUUAAAUUUAAACAAAAAUGAUAGAUUUAAAAUGUAUUUAAGUCUUUUUUUAACAAAAGAGUACAUUAACUUGCUGACAACUUUUCCCCAUUAUUUUUUAAUAAAAACCAAAAGUAAUUAUCAUACUAAAAUAAAUGAAAGGUUUAAUUUACUUAAAUGAUUUUUGGAUAAAUUUUACGUACCUCUAAUUAAAUUUUGUAUUACUAUGUACAGUGUCAUUCCCUACAAAUAGAUGGUUAAAAGUUAAGAAAAUAAAUGAUUUAAUUACAAUCUUAUAAUUUUUUUUAUAAAAAAAAUUGGUCUUAUAUUUAAUCUAAAACAUUGCAAUUCUUUAUAAGUUUUUGACGUUAUUUACUAUUAUAUUUAUAUAUCAUGGUUCAAAUUGCACAUAUUAUGUGUUUGAUGAAAUGUCUCAACAUAAAUAGAUUACUCCAAAAAACAAAGUGUGUCUUUCAAUGAGGUGAUCAAAUGUGACAUUACAAAGAUCACUUGGAGUGGAAACGCGCUUACAAUUUGAUGUGUAACUUGAUAGAUAAAAAGACAGUAAAUUAUCUCUUUUCUUUGUAAAUGAUUGUGAGUAGAAGACUUUUCUAGAUAGUUAAUUCGGUUAUAAUAUAUUGCUAGUGUAAUAGUACAAUUUGAGUAUCUAGUCACACUUUGUAAUUCAAUGAUGAUGUUAUGUUAAAAUUUAAUUUUAGAUCCCCUUAUAUUAAGUGGGUGGAGGUUAUUCCAAACCCUUUGUUUUAAUUUGAUUAUAAUCCUUUUGAAAUUUUCUUUUAAAUGAAUUUAUGUUGAACGUAAAAAAAAAAAAAACGCAGUUCUCACCUAAUCUAAAUCAUUAUAAAAUUUAUUUUAAAACGUUAAAUAAAUUUUUUUUAUGAAAAAAUAAUUUAUGUUUUUAUUAUAUAAUAUUUAAUAAUGGCAUAAUUUAAUUAUACCUUAUUUAAACAUAUAAAAGUUUAUAAGAAAUUUGAUCUACGGGUUAAACAUUCCAACCUAACUAAACAAAAGUGGUAAUGUAAAAUGGGUGAACUUUUAUUACAUUAUUACUAAGGAUCUAAUUGAUACACAAUGUCUACAAUGAUUAAAAUGAAAAUAUAAAUUGUAAUAUUAAUAUGGAAAUAGUAAAUUAAUAGCAAAUGCCUAAUAAUUAAUUAGUUUAAAAGUCAUAAUCGUAUGGAAUGGCAUUGAAAGGCAACCAAGUUGUGGCAUUAAGUCACAGUACAACGGUGAAUCUAACACCUUUUUGCCCAUUUAACCCUUAUCCUAGCAUUGGCACCCGAUCCAAUGUUUCCAAACUCAGCGAAGUACGAGUUUUUAGUGUUAGGUUCAGUAAAAUUCCAAAUCAUAUAUCCAUCUUGUUGAAUUAAAUCACCAAUAUAAUUAUUAAUGAAGACUACCCUAGAAAAUUCCUUCCAUGCCCUUGCAAGAUAAGUCUUCACCAUCAACCAAUCUGGUAAGAGAUCAUCGUCUGGCUUGAUAAAGCACUUUUGGAGGACUAUUCCAGUGUCCAUGUUCUUUUCGGACGUACCAUCAGCCACCACAACGUUUUGUGGUCCGUGAGAGGGCUUCCUCACCCAAAUCAUAGAAUUCUGGAUCAAGAUAGUACUUGACUGACUAAAGAUGAAAUCUAUGGUUCCGUAGAUCUCACAGUUGCAGUAGAAUUGACGACCAUUGUUUACAUACAAUGUGACUUGAUAGCCGCAAAAUAUACAAUUGAAGAAUGCUGAUCGAUCACCUUCAACAUUAAGUGCAACUGCUUGCUCACCUUCUGGGCCAACAGUGUUUUCAAAUGCAAUUCACUUGGCAAUGAAAUUAUGACCCAAGAAGGCUGCAAGCACAUUUUCAUCAAUAUCUUCACAUACAGUUAAUUAACAAGUUAGAGAUCACAUAUAUUUUUCAUUUACUUUGUUAAAUCAAUAUAAUCCAAAUUUUGCAUUAAAUGUUUCCAAGCAAUUUUUUGAUUUAUUUUCUCUCUCGUCUCAAUUAAUUUAAUUAACACGAUAACACUUUAAACCAAACAUAAUAAACAAACAUAAUGUGAUAUAUCUAAUAAACAUACUAGAUUAAUGUUAAAAAAUCUCUAUUAAUUUUUCUCUAUCUUCUCAAACAAUAUAACUCUUUGUUCUCUGUUAAUUUUUAGGAAAGUAGAGAGACAAUUUUUGAGAGAAUUAAAGGUUAACUUACAGAAUGUGGCGGUUUUAGAUGUUUCACGUCCUUCACGAGAGUUCUUGUGUCCAGUGAUAAUGGUGUUUGUAGGACUAUCACCAUACAUGGUGAUAAUGACACAUUUGACAUCCGAUUCAUUAGCUAAAGAUUUUUUAUUUAUUUUUUAUUUUUUUAUCUUAAUUUGGUUCUGAAAAAUAGUUUUUAAAUUUAUCUACAAAAUAAUAUUAUUUUUGUCUUUAUAUGUAAGACGUUAUUGUAAUUUUUUUAAAUCAUUUUUUGAAUGACUCUAUUCAAAUUAUAAAAGUAUUAAUUAUUUUUUUACAAAAAUACAUCCAAUUAUUAUUAGCUAUCAGAUAAUUCUUAUCAAACAAAACUUAAAUAAAAAGAUUAAAAAUAUCUAUAAAUUUAUUUACUCUCUAAUUGAACAAUAAUUUUUGAAAAAGAAUUAACAUUUGUCAAAAAGUUUAAUGGAAAAAUUUUCAUCCUUAAUUCUUGUACAUUGAUUAAAGUGAUAUUACAUCUAGUAAUAGAGAUAAAGAAUUAAAUAAGUUUUUAGUUAUUAUAAAAUUUUAUUUUAGUUAAUGUAAAAAAAUCACGUGUUUAGUCCACAUAAAAUUAUUCUACAAGUUAUUUUAGUUAUUGCUGAAAUGAAACAUUUCAAUUUUUAAAUUUUUGAAUGAUUUUUUACAUGUUUAGAACAUUAUUAAAAGUUCAUCCGUACAAACAUAAAACUUUUUAACUUGCAAUGAAUUAAUUAUGAAUUUUUUAAAUGUCAAACAUAGUCUUUAAAAUAUAGACUUAGAAAUCAACUAUUGAACUCAUUUUUUUUAAUGAACUUUUUAUAGUGUUGUAAACAUGUAUGCAAAACGAUCAUUAAAAAAAACACGUUGAUGCUCUCUAAAAUUGCUUGCAUAAUAAUUUUGUAUGACUAAAAUAUGUGAUUUUGUUAUCUUUUUUUACAAAAACUAAAAACAAAAUUUCGAAAAACUUAUUUAACCCUAGUUAUAAAUAAAUAAACCUAAUUUACUCUAGUAAUCAUAUUAUUGAAGCUCUCUCAACAAUGACAAUAUUACUGCAUGUGAUGCUUGCUUCGUAACUAAUAAAAUGAUAUUAAGCAUAAAAGAAAUAUAAUUAAUUAGAAAUAAAAUUGUAUUGAUAGAAUGAAUAAAAUUGUUAAUUAUUGAGAUGUUAUUCAUAUAUAAAUCUCAAAAUGACUAUUACAACCAACGUAAUUAAUCUAACUAAUUUACGACUAACAUAAACUAAUUCUAAUUAUUAAUACAUACAUAUACAUACAAAUCACUCUGUUCAUCUAUAUAUAAUUAAUAAUGCUAUUAAUAUUAACUUAUAGUGAUUUUUCCUUUUAACAAAGUGGUGAUUUCUUUUGAUUUAUAUGGCACACAUGAAACUAGGCAGCUUCCUCAUAACUUUUGGGGUUUUCUUUUUUCUUUUUAUUAAAAUAAAAAGUAGCUAAUAUUGUUAUUUGGCCUACUGAAAGUAAAGGAGUGAAAAAAAUGGUAAAAAGAAUGUUACGAAGCUUUCAUAUAAUUAGGGAAAGGUGAAAGAAAAUUAGUAAUAAAGAAGAUAUCACUAUAUAGUAUAAGUGCAAUAGUGCAAACUGAAGCUAAAGUAAAACUAAAAAUAAUUUCUUUCACAAAGUUAAUUAACUACUUAAAUUCAAUAUUUCAUUGAUUUCUAAAUUGAUUAAUUAUUUAUCUGUCUGGAAAUUUAUUUUAUUACCAUCAUAAUGUAUCUUUAUAACACUGUUUUUUUAUUCAUUUGAAAAUGAAUGGCAAUAUUAGUAGACUUUAACUUUUCUCAUGCAAAGGCAUUUUAAAGUAAUGCAUAGACACAUUCAACUUAUCAUUCCCUUCUCCAUCUAUAAGUAAUGCAUUUCAAAGUAAAAGCAUUUUAAAAUAGCAUUCACUAUUUUUUAUGCUUAGUCUAAACUCCAACUACAACUUACAGUGCUUUAUUGAUAAUGCUACAAAUUAUGUACAGAUACGAUAUUUAACUUAUAGAUAGUGAUUUUUGUUUAUAACAAAGUACUUUUCUUUUAAUUUUUAUCAUGUUUAUCAUACUCAUAAAGUUGGUUCACCAUUAUUCCAAUUAUCGGUUACUUUUUUCCUCUUUAGCACUCCUGCUUCUAUUAAAAAAUCUGGAUCAUACAUUCAUGCAUUUCAAGGGAAGCAUCAAUUCACGCAUUUGAUUUUAAAAAAAAUAAAUAAAUAUUUUAAUAAUUUAAAAUACUGAAUUUGAAUUUGAACAAUAUCAUCUCGAUGAAACAAUUACGAUGUUUUAAAUGUGUGAAUGCGACAACUAUUGAGUGCAGUGGAGCCGAGUCUGUCAUAGCAAUAUUUUUAAUAAUAUAUUGUAAUUGAUAAAUAAAAUUAUUUCUAAUAUAUUUAAUAUAUAAAAAAAAUAUUUAAAAUUGUUUAAAAAUAUGAUUAACGACCUUAAAAUACAGAAUAUAAAGGUAUUAUUUAAUUAUUAAAAUAUAUUUAUAAAUUUAUAGUUAAUGAAAUGGAAUUAAAUGAUGAUCUAUUGAACCUUAUUUUUAUCUAAUUAAGUAAUCUCACGUCAUAAAUAAGAAUGUCACUUCAUAAAAAUUGAACAAAUCGAUAAAUUUCAAAAAUUAUAAAAUUAAAGGACUAAAACUCCAAUUUUUAAAAUAAAAAAAUUAAAAAUUAAAUUAAAACAAAAUAGAUAGAUCAAAAUGUAUUUAAGUAUUUUUCUACCAAAAGAGUGCAUUAACCUACCGACAACAUUCCAGCUAAUUUUGGUAUUUUCUGUUAUUUUUAUAAAAGUAAAAAAGAAUUAUUAUACUAAAAUAAAUGAAAGGUUUAAUUAACUGGAAUAAUUUUUUUAAUUGUUAAAAAAAUAAAAGGUUUAAUUAAUUUUAGUACUUAUGAAAUAUAUUAUAUUUUAUUUAUUCAUCACAAUCUUAUAUAUUUUAUAAAAUUAAAUGAAAAAUUGGCCUCUCUCCUCACUUACAAUCUGUUUUUUUAAAUGAAUUAUUGAUGUUUGAGACAAUUAAAAUUUUAAUAUUAUCUUAAACUAAUUUUAUUGGUAAAAAAUAAAAUUUAACUAAUUAAUUAAAAAUAAAAAUAAGUCGACUCGUUAAAACCUUGAGAAAACAUUAAUACUCUUGAGAAAUAAAUAAGUGUAGAGCAAGAAAAUUCAUAGACAACUAAAAUGUAAAGUAAUUUCUUGGAAUCAAAUUUUAAUUAUCCUAUAAAAAACACGUGAACAUUGAACGAUCUCAAUCUGUAGAGUUUUGUUACAUAUGAUAUAAAUCACAAUGGUUCAAUGUCACGUCAUUUUAAAAAUUAAUUAAAAUAUUAAAUUAAUAUUAAUUUAAAUUUACAACAUAUAUUUUUCAAACAUAAUUGUUCCAUAUAAAAGCUGUCGAUAGUUAUUAUUGUUUCAUUUGAAAUUCAUCAGAAAAGUGUUUAAAUUCCGUCGCAUAUCAUUCCCAAAAACGUCCAUAUAAAAGGAUUUUUUAGUAGUGAGUUUUGUCAAAAGGGUAUUGAUAAAUAAUGUAAUAUAUUCAAAUUAGAAUAACAAGGUUUUCUUUUGGUAUAUAAAUAACUCCAUGCUGAAAAUAGAACGGUAUUUGUUUGAUUGGUUGUGACGUAAUUGUCACCUGAUAAUAAAAUAAAUGACAUUUAACAGAUAAAAAUGUUAUAUAGGAGUCUUUUAAGAUUUCAACUUCUAGCUACUGGUCAACUAUUGGUUAACGUAAUUAUUUGUUAAGUUGAUAUCAAAAUUUUCUCUAUAUUUUGAAGAGCGGAGCGUUAAAAGAGAUCCAUCAGGGAUUCGAUUAUCACUCUUAAUAUAAUCUUAAUAAUUAUUAAUAUAACUUUGACUUUAAAAAAAAUAAAUAUAUUAUAAUAAAUUUAGUGAAGAGAGUAAAUAUUUGUAAAAAUAUAAAGUAGGAGAGAAAAAUUAGAUAUAAUAAUAUAAAAUAAGAGAGAGAAAAUAGAUAUAAUUAUUGGAACUAAGAUGAUUUUCCACUUAUAGUUUUAAUGUUAACAUAAGCAUUUUAUAAGAACAACAAAUUUGCCUUAGUGGCUUCAUUAAGUAUUCAAAAAUUAGAAGAAGAAUAUCAUAGAAAGGUACUAAAGGAAACGACCAGAGGUAAGUCACAAGAGGAAGUGACUAGAGAAAGAGAUCAGCGGAACAUAAAGUAUAUAUGUUUGCCUUUGAAUAUAUGCAUUUAAAAGUAUUGUGGCUCUAAAGGUUACAAAGAUUGGUCUGAUGUAUGAGUCUAAUGUUUAAGUCUGAUGACUGCCUAUGAAGAAUGGCUCUGAAACUAAGUUUGAAAGACAGCUUCUAAAGACUUUCUGAAAAUUGAAUUUGAAGCAUGCCUCUAAAAUUCUUGCAUGUCUCUGAGCUGCACAAAUUUAACAUGCAUCUGAAGAGUUCAUAUCAAGGUAUAAUUAACUCUGAAGAGAUUGUUCAAAUCAUUAAUUCAAAGCUCACAAUAUGUUGAUCAAAAUGGUGCAACACAAUCCAAAUGUUGCUUCUAAUAAGCAUCUUCUAAUGUUGCACUGACUCUUAAGUUUCAACAAGGUGAUUUACCAAAUGCCACUAGUUCUAAUUCAUGUAAUUCUGCCUCUGACUAUCAUUAUUAAAUAAACACAAUAUCUCACUCCAACAAAAAAGUCAAUGACUCUGAUGGAAAGUCAACAAUUGAAACUGAAAGAAUUAAGUAUAAAAAGAAGACUUAUCUGAAUCCAUUCGAGAACAAUCUGAAUCCAUUCCAGUUCAAAUCAAGCAAGAGUAUGAAAGAAGAUUUGUGUUUUUGAAAACAAUCUAAAAUAAGAUUUGAUUUAGAUAUAUAAUUGAAGAAAAUCUUUGACCAAGUUGAAAAGAACAUAUGGUCAAGAUUUGAAGAAGAUAUGAUGAAAAUCUUAUCAACAAGAAGAUAUGAAUUAUUUACAGGAAUAUUUGAUCGAGAUUUAUCACAAAAAGAUAUGUAUUAUUUACAAGAAGAUUUGAUCAAGAUUUAUCUACAAGAAGAUAUGAGUUAUUUAAGAGAAGAUUUGAUCAAGAUUUAUCUACAAGAAGAUAAGAAUUAUUUACAAGAAGAUUUGAUGAACAUUUAUCAACAAGAAGAUAUGGAUUAUUUACAAGAAGAGUUGAUUAGAAUCUACAAGAAUAUAUUAAUUAUUUACAAGAAGAUAUAAUCAAGAAUUGUUUACAAGAAUAAACAUUCACAAGAAGAUACAUUUAUUAAUUGCAAAUAUAUGAUUCAGAUUUUGCAGGGACAAAGGAGAAACUCCAACUUAUUCUCUAAAGAGAUACUCAAGACUGAAUAAAAAAAUAAGAGAAUUCACAAGAACAAAAUUUCAUUAGUCAUUAACGUUCAUAAGGUUAAGGUCUAGAAAAACAUUUUCUCAAAAGAAAUAUUUUUGAAGUGUUUUCUAGUGUAAGAGUCAUUGUUACAAUUAGCUUGUUAUAGGCAAACUAAUUUGUUCCAAACUCUUGUAUCCCAGACUGAUAAUGACUUUCGUGUUCCUCAAGCAAUAUGUAAGUUUUCAUGUUGAGUUGGGAAGACUUGACAUGUAGAGUCAAGGUGUUUGUGUUCCUAAAAAAAAUUAUAGGUGUAAGGUUGUUUUGAGAAGAUUGAUUUGUAGGGUCAGAUGUUGUGUAAUUAAUAUUUUUAAUUAGUUGAUUGAAUUCUUCUUAGUAAGGGAACUGAACGUAACUACCAAGUUGGUGGUGAACUAGGAUAAAUUUUUGUAUCACUUUAAUUCUGUAAUUCUUGUUUUACUUCUACCUCUGAUCACUUAACUCGAUUGUUACUACUUUUAUUCUAAAUAAGUCACAAAAUUCGAACUAGUUUUAAAUAAAUUAACAAAAAUAAUUCGACUAGUCAAACACAAUUCAACUCCCCUUCUCGUGCUAACACCUUCAAUAAUAAUACAAAUUGAGAUGAGAGAAAGAAAAAAAGAAAGAAUCAAUAGAUAUUUCUAUUUUAAUUAUUAAUAAGGGAGAGUAAAUAGAUAUAAUAAUGCAAUAAUAAUAAUAUAGGAGAUAUAAGGUUAAUUUAUUUUACAAAAAAGGUUAAUUUAUUUUACAAAAAGCCAAACUAUAUUAAAAACGUGAAGCAGAUGGUACAUGAAAUAAGGUUGACUUUUUAUUUCUUUGGAGAAUAGAGUUGAGUGAUAAAAAAUAGACGAUUAUAUUGUUACCUUUAACAAAAUACUAACAAUUUUAAUUAUUAAUCUUGGUUGUUGAACAUUUCUAUUGUAUAAUAUGUUUCUAAAAUAGUAUUGAGAUAAUUUUGAAUUGACCAACAAUGAGUUAUGUUUUUAAAGAUAUUUAUAUCCUCUUAUAAAAUAAAAUAUAAGUAAAAGUUGAUCAACUAUACAUAUUACAAAAUACAGUUGAUGUUAUUAAAUCAUAGUUUAAUCGAUAAAUAUUAAAAUUGGUCAGAUCUUUAGUAUAUUAUUAUUCCUCUAGAAAAUUCACUGUCUACCAAUUAGUUUUCACAUAACUCUAUAAUUUGAAUCUACCCAUCCAAUUACAGAAAAAGAUUCCAAAUAAAUUAUCAAUAUGGUAUGCUUGAUAUUUUGACAUCACAAUCAACAAAUUUAAAUAAAUUUCAUAUCUAACAUUCUUACUUUCAUGGCUCAAAAUUUCAAUUAUUCACCCAUCAAGUCGUGAUUUGAAAGGAUAAAAAGUUGAAAAUGUUCCUAUUACAGUAAGAAUACGGACUCUACUUAUUAAUAUCCAUUGUUCAAUCUCUAUUGAAUUCCUUGCAAACUAGAGAACCAAACUAUGAAUAACAAUAAUAAUAAAUAACUUUGUAGAACAUAAACUGUUGAAACUAAAGAUGCAGCAACUAGUUGUUACCUGAGAACCAAGAGAUAUUUGAGUUCACAACAAGCAACAACCUAUGCGCAACAACAACCUUCGAUGUUUGUGUCGCAACGAGAGAUUUGAACAUGUGCGUAACAAUCAUAACAUUGAAAUUAAAAACAGUUCAAAACAUUCAAAAUCAUCAUUGUAGAGGAAGUUUCAAAACAUUCAACUCAAUCAUUGUACAAAACAAGUAAAAAGGGCUAAAAAAAAGAACAAUAAAAAAGUUCAAAUCGUAACAGUGAAAAAUAAAAAACGUGAGCACAAAAAACAUUUGCCAGAAAAGAGAAAUUAACCUGAGGCACCAGAAAACGCGUGUGGAACACGUGAUAGGAAACGAAGCAAAAUUGUCGCCGAAAAACGCGAGAAAACGGAGGCUGGAAAAUUCAAGCAGAACGGAGGUCGGAAAACGCGACUAGAACGAAGUCCGGAUAACGCAAGCAGAACGGAGGCCAUAAACGCUAGCAGAACCGAGGCUAGAAAACGUGAGCAGAAAGGAGGUCGUAAAACUCUAACAAGAAGUCGAAACUAAACAAUGUGGAGGGAGGAACGACCGAUAUGGCACAAAAUUUUAGUUCUGAAAUUUUAGGGUAAAAGACUUUUUAGUUAUGAGACCUGAGAGAGAGAUUUGAGGGGGAAAAGAACCAGUGAGAUGUCAAAAUGGUUAGCACGUUUCUAAUUUCCAACAAAGUAUGGCGACGGUUGCAAAAAAAACGCCGCAGGAACCGUCGCAGUGUAUGAACGCAUGCAGCUUUCUAAAAUCGGUCGCAGAGCAUGUGCUGCAAUAUUUUUAAUUUUUUUGUAGUGUAGUAAUCUAGUUCCUUCCCCAAUUAAAACACAAGAUUUCGAAAAUUCUCAACAAAAGUUGAUAACUAUCAAAAUAGACAACCAAUUACUACCUUCGUCUCUUAUUAUAAAUAAUCAUUAUUUUUUUUAAUUAUAAAAAGUUAGUAAAAUUAUUAAUGUAUUUAUUUUACAUGUUAACGUUCUUAAAAUAAUUUUGUAUUUAAAGUAUCUAAAUUUAUUAAAUUUAAUUUUUUAUAUUUUAAGACAAAUUAGUAGUAUUAAAAAAUAAUAUGUUUGAAAAUAAAUAAAUAAACACACCUAACAUAAAUUGAGUGCCCGCAUUCCAUUUUAUGAUGGAAGGAUAUUGGUCUAUGUGAGCUCAUUGGACCAAUCAUUUUCAUGCAACUCUCUUUGCCGCUUUUAUUUCUUAAUUACUGCAAAUAUGAUUUUGCUUCCUAAUUUAUGGCUCAAGGUAAAAAUGGGUUUGGUAUAUGCUUUCAAAACCAUUUGAAUGCUUUCGUAUUUGUAUAAUCCCUAUUGAUAGUUUCAUACUCUUUCAUUGAAGAAGGAAAUUCAACAUGGAUGACAAAUGUCAAAACUUUAUUUACAAACGUAACUCUAAUACAUAUGCCUUUUCUGCAAUUUUUAAUACAUAAAUUAAAUCUCUCUUUAUAGGUAAUUUAGUAAAACAAUUUCUCCCAACAAAUUUAAUAUUAUAAUUAAUAUUUUAAUUUUCGUGAUUUAGUCAACAAAGUCUUAUAUAUUAUAUAUUAAGACCAACGUACUAUUAUACUUGUAUAAAUUAAACAACUAAAUUAUUAUUAUGAUUAUUGUACUUUUCUUCAAGUUAUAGUAAUUUAAUUAUAUGUAAACUAUGAAAAUUGGAUUUCUUCUACAGUUGUAGUAAUUUAACUAUAUGUAAAUUAUGAAAGUUUCAUUUCUUCCACUUUUAUUGAUAGUUGGCUCGUAUUCUUUCUAAUCAUCUCUAUUGCAAAGUAACCCUCAUAAUUUUUAGGAGACGUUUUUAUUGUAUCAAAAAUUUAAUUAAUGAUGAAAUGCAAUGAGUUUCAUUUUACUCAAAAAAUAAAUAGAGUUGAAAAUAGAUUCGUAUCAUACUCUCAAACAUAAGAAAAUAUAUCUCUUCUUCAACCGAAGAGACAUCCAAAAGUAAACUGUGUUAACCUCUCAAAACACACGUUAUAAGAUACAAAAAUCCAUAAAAUCUUCUGAGUUGAGAACCCCAAAAAUAAAAAUGAUAAUCAAAAUUAGCAUUUGUUUGCCUUAAUUCAAGGCCAAGAAGCUAAUUUAAGAUAUUCAAAUUUAUUAUCAAAUAAUAUACGUUAAAAAAGUUCUAAUAUAUUUUUAUUAUAUAUUAUUCUUGUUAAAGUUGUUCUUAUAUUUCUAAUUUAUUUAAUAGUUAAGAGAAUUUUCGGUGCUUACAUCAUAUAUUGUUUGUGUAAUAUAAAAUAUUAUAUCUCUAUCAGAAUAUUGAUGAUAUUCUCUCUACCAUAUAUGUAUUUUACAACUAAACUUUUCAUUUAAUUAAUGUGUUAAUCGUAAAUUAUAUUACCUUUUCAAAAGAAUUAUUGCGUUUGAUUAUCUUUUAACAUAUGUACAUAUUACGUUAAAUUUUAAAUAUUAAUUUAUAUACAAUCUCAAUUUUAUAUCUAAUAUAAUAGUUGGAUGAUGAUUUUCAUUAGGAUACAAAAUUAAUUGAAAGUUAUUCUAUUAUAUUAUUGUGUAGUUUAUGCAAAAUAAAAUGCAGUAUAAUUAAAAUUUUAUAUAUUAUUUAUUUUAUAAUUUUUCUCAUAAUUCAUGUCAUAAGAAGAAGAAGCUAGAGUGACAUCCAUGUGAGUAGUGUUAGUGUGACGAUGGAGAAUCUUAUCAUUAUCAAUAUGAAACUCUCUUUUUCUUCAUUUGAUUAUUAAAUCUUUAUUUUGGUGUAAAUUUACUUUGAUAUUGAAAUGACAAUAGGAAACUUCUUUCUUCAUUUGAUUAUGCACCUUGCUAUGUCAUAAGGAUUGUUGAAGCACUCUAGACAAUGGCAAUAUUAUGAGUCUUUUUGUAUGUUGCUGAGUGAGUAUUGCAUUUAAAAAGGAAACGCAUAGAUUAGUGAGUGAGUGACUGAGUGGAACACAGUGUGCUUGCAACAAUGCUUUUACUUCAAUUAGUGUAAUAAUCAAAGUGUUAAAGCUUCGUCUCUCUCAACAAUGGCAAAAGAAAAGUAGAAUGUGUGAGGAGUAAAAUGCAUAUAAUCGAACAUCAUGCAUAUGAGUUCGGAAUCAGUACACUUGCUUAAUGUAAGGUUAAUUCCUUUAAAUACUUUUUCAGGUAAAGACAUAUACUUUGCCAUAUGAUAACUUUUUUUUUUCUUCUUGUGAAUCUAUAAUAGUAUUAACAUUCUCCACCAAUAUUUGUACUUUGUAUAUAUUACUAAUUAGAAUUCACUAUUUACUUCACUUGCUUUCAUUUUUCUGACACAAUAUAUUUGUCGAAAAACACAAUGCAAUGACUAUGCUCUCUCCUUUAAAAAAAAAAUAUUAAGAAUGGUUGUGCCACGAAAUUAAUAAAUAUGGUUUUUAUCUUGUUUAUGGUUGUGUUAACUAUCACCUCACUCCUAUUUUUUUUCCACCAUUCUUGUAUAGUUGUAAUUGAUCUGCUUUAUUGAGUCACUAAGCUUAAAGUAUUGUACUGCUUCUUUUUUUUAUUCAACCACAAAUUAGAUAAAGUAAAAAAAAAAAAUAGCUUCUUGGGCAAGUAGCUAGAGAUUAAUUUCCUUUUCUUUUUGCUAAUUCAUUUGCUAUUCAACCAUAAAUUAGAUUAACGGAAUCUUUCAUUUAGACAUACUAUAAUUUGAAUGGUUCCAAAUAAUGUAUAUCAUCUAAAAACCACAAAAGUUAAGAGUGGGCUACCAUAGAGAAAAGAGAAGAUUAAAAUAGGAACAUGAAUAUAUUCAUGUAUGUGUGUAAUAACCUAUUACAAUCUCCUCAUACUUAUUUGGCCUAAAUAAUUUACCAAGUAUCAAUUAUGUUAUCUUUGUUUAUUACAAAUGGUUCCACACAAAUACACUAUCAUUCUUACUUAUUUCUUUCUUUAUCCUUUAUGUGUCAUAUAUAACUACUAACAAAAUGGUAAUUAAUAAAAAAAAUAGGGGUAAGAUAAUAGAUGGAGAAUAUUCUCACAGAUCCCUUUCUUUCACAAGUUAACAAAAUUUCUUUGUUAGCAUCGAUUUAAGAGACACCAAUGCAUUUUGUUAGUUAGAAACAAUGUUAUAUGAACAAGCUCAAUGUUUAUUUCUUAGAUUAGUAACUAGUGAAACACCAUAUACGUGAAGAGAAGAGAAUGUUAAAAUAAGAAUCUUGAUACCAUAAUAUAUUAAUUAACACAGUUUUUUACCUUGGUGACUAGGAAACACAUAAAAGCAUGCAUUGUGGGUUCGAUGUUGCUAAAAAUGUGAGUUCUAAAGAGGAAAAAAAAAAUUAAAAAGCACAAAUAAAAAGCAUGCAACAACAUGAAUUAAAAAACAAAAGUAAUUAGAGAAUGCAACAAUUCAACAAAGACUAUUCUCACAAAUCUCUUUCUUUUGCAACUUAACCAAAUUUCUUUGUCGGCCUCCAAUUAAGAGACACCAAUGCACUUUUUUUUAUUUAAUAAAUUGACGAACUAGCAUGUAAGAUUUAAUUUUUAUUUUUAUCCUUGUACUUAGAACUCAUAUCUUUAUUAGCUUUUGUGUGGUAUGUGAGUCACCGCCAUAAUCUUCAUACAUUACUCUUUUAGUUGAGGUUGGGUUUUUAGUUGGGUUGGAUAAAUUAAUGAAUCAAAUUUAGUCUUUUUGUUUGGUUGAGCUAGUUAAACAACUGACAAAAAAAGUGUCAACUAAAGUUUGAAUUAAUUUAAAAAAUAGCAAUUUAACAAAAGUUUAAUUGUAGUUUUGAUUUUUUAAUUUAUUUUAUUAAUUCUUUGACUUGUUCUCCGUAUUUUAAAAUCCGACAAUUUUAGUUUAUCUAUCAAAAUUUUCAACUAAAAAAAUGACGUGACAUAUUUUAAAGGAUUGACUUAUAAUACGAUAAUUUUGACUGAUUAAUACCCAUAAAAUUGAAAUAAAACAUUUCAAAAGCUUUAGUUUCAACUUCAAUAAUGAUUUAUUUGUAUAAUUAAAUUAAUAACAUAUGAAUAAUUAAUCUAUCAAGAUGGUUGUAAAUAAUAGCAUCAUAUAUCAUGUCAUUUAAAAGAUGUUAAAUCAUCAUUUUGUUAGUUAAAAAAUCUGAAAGAUAGACCAAAAUUGUCGCUUUAAAAAAUAGGAGGACCAAUUCUAAUAAUUGGUAAAAAUAGAUAGACCAAAAUUGUAGUAUACUAUUUUUUAAUCUAGUAUGACAAUCCAACUUGCCUCGCCUCGUGAUCCUCUAUUUUUUUUUAUAGAUUAAACGAGGUGGCCCGACAUAGGUAUAUCAGUUAUAUGCGGUGUAUACUCCACAAUUUAAAGGAUUUCUUUUUAGAUUGCUUGCAAAAUGGUUCGGCAUGUGGUUAAUUUGUUUGGAUCCCAUUUUACAGGGCAUGUGUCUUUCACGAAGUUGGAGUUAUAGAUUCUUCUGACUGAUUGGGUUCAUGGUCGACCCCGUACAACUAUCAUUCAAGUUUAUUGGUCUUCAACUCUUUCUAAUUUGAUAAAGUGUAAUAUUGAUGGCGCAACCAGAUACACACCUAAUGAUGUUGGUGGCGAAAGGUAUUUUCGAAAAUAGCAUAACUACUUUACUUUUAUUGGUAGUUUUGAGAUGAAGUUUGUCAUCACUAUUACUUUUCAUAUAGAGUUGUUAGUGGAUAUGUUUUAUAUGUAAAAUUCUUAUUCAUGAGGUUAACUUUGUCUUUGAUUAGAAAAAAACUAUUUGGUUGUAGUUGGCUCUUUAAAGGAUCAUAGUUGGAUCCUUUGACACUUAUAUAUGAUCAGGUGAAAAAAUUAUUAUUUCUUUAGAGAUGUAUGAAUUUUACGAUUUGUCUCAUAUUUAUCAAAAAAAAACAAUUGUGUGGAUAAAUUAGUAAAUCAUGAAAAUACUGCUUCAACUUUACAUCUAUGGGAUUAUUUAAUUUAUAUGCGUUCAUUACGGGAUACUUAUUUUAUAAUAGAUUUUGUUUUCUGGCGAUCGUUUCAAUUGAUAUAUAUUUAUUUUGUUUUGAAUUUUAGUUUUUGUUUGCAUUGUACUUUUUUUUUCUUUCACUAUGGUUUUAUCUCAAUGACUUAUUCAAAUAAAUUUUUUAAUGAAGGAAUUGAUUAACAUUUUAAAUGACUGUAUUCUUUAGAUUUGGUUUAGUCCCCAAUAUGUUUCUUUUUGUUUAUGUUUUAAUAAUAACUUUAAGUAAGUGCAAGUAAUUUUUUUUAAAGGGUUAUGAUCUUGUAAAAAAUAGUUAAGAUAAUUUUUUUAACUCUAUGGUUCUUAGAGAAAAGAGUUCUAGUAAUAUAGAGUUCGACUGAUAUGUAAGUAAAAUCUGAUCAAUAGUUGUUUUAGUUAGAAUUUGAAUUCAAGUUCUUCUAAACAAUAUUCACUACUAGAAAAUCUACUUUUAGCGUCGGCCGGAAACCCACGCUAAAUGACAAAAAGCCGACGCUAAUGGCGAUUUAGCGUCGGAUUAGCGUCGGUGUCGAGCCUAGGCUAAAACGGUCGAAGCUAAUGGGGUAGCGUCGGCUGAACCCACGCUACGCCGACGCUACUAACAAUUACAAAACAUUCGACGCUAGUUAUAUCCUUGACACGUCAUUUGUUAAAAUUCAGUUGUGUCGGAUGGACGACGCUAGAGUUCACUAAAUUUUAAUACUGUAGCGUCGGUCUUGCCGACGCUAGUGGACCAAAAUGGAAAUUUGUGGAAGUCUGGCAACACGAUUAGGGUCGUUCCAGAUAUGACACAAUUAAAAAUUUCAAUCUUUAUCCUAAUGCAACAUGAAACUUUUCAAAACUAAAUUUGACAAAGGUUGAUAGAGGCUGUUGCAGUUUCUAUAAAAUUAACUCAAUAAAAAAUUCACUUGUAACCAAUCAUAUGUUUUGAAUUCAUCUAAUAAAUUGAAAAGGAAAAAUAUAUAAGAAUCAUGCAUACCCUUAAACCAACCAUAGUUGUUCCAUAGUCUAUAGAUCAAUGGUGCAUUCAAUUAGUCAAUACCAACAAAAUAUGUAAAAAAAAAUCAUAAACACAUCACUAAAAACAUUAUUGGUAAAAAGAUAUAUGUGAACUUGAUGAGACAUUAACCAGAAAUAGAAAAUGUUAUUUCAUCACUUUUAUUGACGAUUGCUCUUAUUACACUUUUGUAUAACUAAUGAAAAAUAAAAGUGAAGCGCUUGACAUGUUUAAGAUCUUUGUAACUGAAAUUGAAAAUCAAUUUAGUAAAAAGAUUGAGAGGUUUCGUAGUGAUAGAGGAACAUAGUAUGAUUCUAGUUUAUAUAAUGAAUUUUAUAAAACCCAAGGAAUUAUACAUGAAACUAUUGCUCCAUAUUCACUUGAAAUUAAUGGUAAAGCUGAAAGAAAGAAUAGACAUCUUACUGAACUAGUUGUUGCCAUUAUGCUUAACUCUGGUGCUGCAUUUCACUGGUAGGGAGAAAUUAUUUUGACUGUUUACUAUAUUUUGAAUAGAAUACCUAAAUCUAAAAACAAAACAUCUCCUUAUGAGAUAAUGAAGAAAAGACAACCUAACUUGUCUUAUCUUCGAACAUGGGGUGGUCUGGCUUAUGUCAGAAUCCCCGAUCCCAAGUGAAUUAAUCUCGCUAGUAGAUCAUAUGAAUGUGUAUUCAUUGGGUAUGCAGUAAAUAGUAAAGCGUAUAGAUUCUAUGACCUAAAUGCUAAAGUGAUCAUAUAAUCAAAUAAUGUUGACUUCUAUGAAAAUAAAUUCCCUUUCAAAUCAAGAAAUAGUGGAGGCAACGAACCUAGUCAAGUUCCUGUGACAAGAAGCACUGAAAGCAACAACCAAGGCAAAAAAGAAAUUCGAACAAGUAAGAGAGUUAGAAUUGUCAAAUAUUAUGGACCCAAAUAUAUCGCCUAUAACUUAGAAGAAGUUCCUGCAAAUCUAAAAGAAGUUUUGUCAUCAUUGGAUGCAGAUUUAUGGCAAUAAGCUAUAAAUGAUGAAAUGGAUUCUCUAGAGUCUAACGAGACCUGACAUUUAGUAGACUUGUCUCCUAGUUGCAAACCAAUAGGUUGUAAAUGGAUACUUAAAAAGAAACUAAAAGCUAAUGUAACUGUUGAUAAAUACAAGGCACGCCUUGUAGCCAAAGGUUUUAGACAAAUAAAAAAAUAUAGAUUUCUUCGAAACUUUUUUACCAGUCACUAGAAUAACAUCCAUAAGGGUGUUCAUAUGACUUGCGGCUAUUCAUAACCUGGUGAUACACCAGAUAGAUGUUAAAACAACUUUUUUAAAUGGUGACCUGGAAGAAGAAAUUUAUAUGGAACAACCUGAGGGUUUUGUAAUUCAUGGACAAGAAGACAAGGUCUGUAAGUUAGAUAAGUCUCUGUAUGGUCUUAAACAAGCUCCUAAGAAAUGACAUGAAAUUUUUGGAUAACUUGAUUAUAUCGAAUGAGUUUAAAGUGAAUGAAAGUGACAAAUGUAUUUAUUACAAAUUUGAAAAAUGGCAUUUGCAUUAUCAUAUGUCUAUAUGUAGAUGACUUACUCAUAUUUGAUUCAAACAUUCAUGCUGUAAAUAAUUUGAAAUCUUUGUUGAGUAACAACUUUGAUAUGAAAGACCCCGAAGAAGCAAAUGUAAUCCUUGGCUCAAAAUGGUAUGCUUGAUAUUUUGACAUCACAAUCAACAAAUUUAAAUAAAUUUCAUAUCUAACAUUCUUACUUUCAUGGCUCAAAAUUUCAAUUAUUCACCCAUCAAGUUGUGAUUUGAAAGGAUAAAAAGUUGAAAAUGUUCCUAUUACAGUAAGAAUACGGACUCUACUUAUUAAUAUCCAUUGUUCAAUCUCUAUUGAAUUCCUUGCAAACUAGAGAACCAAACUAUGAAUAACAAUAAUAAUAAAUAACUUUGUUGAACAUAAACUAUUGGAACUAAAGAUGCAGCAACGAGUUCUUACCUGAGAACCAAGAUAUAUUUGAGUUCACAACAAGCAACAACCUAUGCGCAACAACAACCUUCGAUUUUUGUGUCGCAACGAGAGAUUUGAACCUGUGCGUAACAAUCAUAACAUUGAAAUUAAAAACAGUUCAAAACAUUCAAAAUCAUCAUUGUAGAGGAAGUUUCAAAACAUUCAACUCAAUCAUUGUACAAAACAAGUAAAAAUGGCUAAAAAAAAAGAACAAUAAAAAAGUUCAAAUCGUAACGGUGAAAAAUAAAAAACGUGAGCACGAAAAACAUUUGCCAGAAAAGAGAAAUUAACCUGAGGCACCAGAAAACGCGUGUGGAACACGUGAUAGGAAACGAAGCAAAAUCGUCGCCGAAAAACGCGAGAAAACGGAAGCUGGAAAAUUCAAGCAGAACGGAGGUCGGAAAACGCGACUAGAACGAAGUCCGGAUAACGCAAGCAGAACGGAGGCCAUAAACGCUAGCAGAACUGAGGCUAGAAAACGUGAGCAGAAAGGAGGUCAUAAAACUCUAACAAGAAGUCGAAACUGAACAAUGUGGAGGGAGGAAUGACCGAUAUGGCACAAAAUUUUAGUUCUGAAAUUUUAGGGUAAAAAGGUUUUUAGUUAUGAGACCUGAGAGAGAGAUUUGAGGGGGAAAAGAACCAGCGGGAUGUCAAAAUGGUUAGCACGUUUCUAAUUUCCAACAAAGUAUGGCGACGGUUGCAAAAAAAACGCCGCAGGAACCGUCGCAGUGUAUGAACACAUGCAGCUUUCUAAAAUCGGUCGCAGAGCAUGUGCUGCAAUAUUUUUAAUUUUUUUGUAGUGUAGUAAUCUAGUUCCUUCCCCAGUUAAAACACAAGAUUUCGAAAAUUCUCAACAAAAGUUGAUAACUAUCAAAAUAGACAACCAAUUACUACGUUCGUCUCUUAUUAUAAAUAAUCAUUAUUUUUUUUAAUUAUGAAAAGUUAGUAAAAUUAUUAAUGUAUUUAUUUUACAUGUUAACGUUCUUAAAAUAAUUUUGUAUUUAAAGUAUCUAAAUUUAUUAAAUUUAAUUUUUUAUAUUUUAAGACAAAUUAGUAGUAUUAAAAAAUAAUAUGUUUGAAAAUAAAUAAAUAAACACACCUAACAUAAAUUGAGUGCCCGCAUUCCAUUUUAUGAUGGAAGGAUAUUGGUCUAUGUGAGCUCAUUGGACCAAUCAUUUUCAUGCAACUCUCUUUGCCGCUUUUAUUUCUUAAUUACUGCAAAUAUGAUUUUGCUUCCUAAUUUAUGGCUCAAGGUAAAAAUGGGUUUGGUAUAUGCUUUCAAAACCAUUUGAAUGCUUUCGUAUUUGUAUAAUCCCUAUUGAUAGUUUCAUACUCUUUCAUUGAAGAAGGAAAUUCAACAUGGAUGACAAAUGUCAAAACUUUAUUUACAAACGUAACUCUAAUACAUAUGCCUUUUCUGCAAUUUUUAAUACAUAAAUUAAAUCUCUCUUUAUAGGUAAUUUAGUAAAACAAUUUCUCCCAACAAAUUUAAUAUUAUAAUUAAUAUUUUAAUUUUCGUGAUUUAGUCAACAAAGUCUUAUAUAUUAUAUAUUAAGACCAACGUACUAUUAUAUUUGUAUAAAUUAAACAACUAAACAACUAAAUUAUUAUUAUGACUAUUGUACUUUUCUUCAAGUUAUAGUAAUUUAAUUAUAUGUAAACUAUGAAAAUUGGAUUUCUUCUACAGUUGUAGUAAUUUAACUAUAUGUAAAUUAUGAAAAUUUCAUUUCUUCCACUUUUAUUGAUAGUUGGUUAGUACUCUUUCUAAUCAUCUCUAUUGCAAAGUAACCCUCAUAAUUUUUAGGAGACGUUUUUAUUGUAUCAAAAAUUUAAUUAAUGAUGAAAUGCAAUGAGUUUCUUUUUACUCAAAAAAUAAAUAGAGUUGAAAAUACAUCCGUAUCAUACUCUCAAACAUAAGAAAAUAUAUCUCUUCUUCAACCGAAGAGACAUCCAAAAGUAAAUUGUGUUAACCUCUCAAAACACACGUCACUACGCGAAAAAACGCAUAUUACAGCGCUUUUUUUAAGCCAUUUACAGCGUUUUUUCAAAAAAAUAAGCGCUGUGGAAACGAGCGCUGUAAAUGAUACAACAGCGCUUUUAAAAAAGCGCUAUAAAACAUGUAAAUACAACGCGCGCUUGUUAUGCACAUUUUACAGCGCUUCUUCACAAAAAACGCUGUAAUAUGCACCCCAUUAUAUGAGUUAUGGGUGUGCAUUUUACAGCGCUUUCUCAAAAAAACGCUGUAAAAUGCCCACCCAUAUGUGAAAUUAUGGGUGGGCAUAUUACAGCGCUUUCUCACAAAAGCGCUGUAAUAUGCCCACCCAUAAUUUCACAUAUGGGUGGGCAUUUUACAGCGUUUUUUUGAGAAAGCGCUGUAAAAUGCACACCCAUAAUUUCAUAUAUGGGUGUGCAUAUUACAACGCUUUCUCAAAAAAGCGCUGUAAAAGGCCCACCCAUAAUUUCAUAUUAUGGGUCUGCAUUUUACAGCGCUUUUCUUGUACAUUUUACAGCGCUUUCUCACGAAAGCGCUGUAAAAGGUGCACCAUUAAAGCGCUUUUUAACUUUCUCACGCUGUAAAUUAAUUAUUUGAAAUGAAAAGCGCUUUUUAGCUUUUUAUGGCUUUUUUUUUAAAAAGCGCUGUCUUUUAUCUUUGUAUCCAAAAUUAUUUUGAUCCAAAAUCACUUCACAAUCAGUGUUUCACUCUCCAUUUGUAUUUCAGGUUGGAGCUGAACCGGAAGUUGCUUGUCUUUAUUCGUAUUCACCAAGAGUGCCACUUGCUCCGAUAAGAUUCUGAGCUUCUCUAAUACUUCCUCGUUGGAAGGUUUUUGGCGCUUCUCUUGAGGAAAAAAGCUUUUGGGAGUUACGCCAAAUCCUUUCCCCCUCACUCGACCGGAAUACUCAGGGACAUUAAACACUUUCCCAAGAAUGUCCCUGCACGUAUCCUUGUUGCCCUCUUGAGUUUCAGAACUUUGUUCAAUAGUUUCCUAAAAUACAUGUAACAUUAAAAAGAUAAGUUCAAUAGCAUUUUUAAAAUACAAUAUUAAAAAAUAUUAAAGUGAUAAUAUACUUACACAAAGUUCUACAACUUUCUUGACAUUUUCAUUAUCAACCACUCCUUCUUUGUUAACACGCGCUUCCUUCCAUAAGAUAUGACGACCCAAGGGUUGAUCGGCUUGGGUGUCUUUUCUCUAUUCGUUAAAAUCAUAAACAAAAUAAUACAAAUUAGUUACACACUAUAGUUUAUAAUACAAAUUACAAGUGAUGUUUAAUUACUUACAAUUUUUUGUUCAAGGCGUGCAUAUCCCAUACGUGAUUUCUUGUAUGGGUGUUUUGGGUUGCUUGCCCGUUCGCGAUUUGCCUUACUAAUAUUCUAUAUAAAAAAAAAAUAGCAAUUGUGUAAAAAUUUAAAAUACGCUACGAAUAUGAAUAAUAAAACACAAAUGCUAAUAAAUUAAUCACUUACGACAAACGCCGGGUCAGAACGUUUGGAAACAAAUGCACUCCAUUCAUCCUUUGAUAUAUAAUGUUGAUAUAUCUUUGGAGGUUCAGCAUUUGUGUUUCCUUCUCUAUCUUUUAGAUAGAAAUUUGAGAGAUGGGAUCUAAAUCCACGAUGGAUUUUCCCAGCAACUCUCAAAACAUAUGACUUUCGUUCCUCAUCAAGAACAAAAGUGGUCUGCAAUGAAAACAAUUAUAAGUAAUGUAUUUUACAGAAAAAAAAUUAUAAAUGACAAAAGAGUAGAUCAAAAUAUUUACUUGAAUGUCAUUCCAGAUGAUAUCUUUGGCAUCCUUCAACGCCUUAUCUCUCCAGUUGUCUAUUGUUAUUGGGACAUUUUGACGAACAACAGCCCCAAUGUAGCUUACAAACAUGGAGCUGUUGGGGUCAACUGGCUGACCACUCUCGUUCCAGCCAACCUAAUAAACUCAUAUAGUAAGUACAUGCCCUAAACCCUAAAAAAAGAUAAAAAAACACACAGCAAACAGAGUAUAUAUAGUAUACCUCAAAUUUAAUGCCACUGCUCCGUGCUUUAAUCACCCUUUGCAUGAUAGUUGCACCACGUUUGACUUCUUUUUCGUAAGUCUUAGAGGUGCCAACUUCUUCAUUUUGAACUUCUAAAUCUUUGUUUGUAUCCAUUUAACUACAACAAGUUCAACAUGCACUUUAGUAUAACAUCAACAAGCUCAACAUGGAUCAUGCAUUAUUAUAAACAAACUCAACAUGUAUCAGUAUAUCUUAAAAAAGCUCAACAUGCAUUCUAAUGAUUACAAAAAUUUAAUAACAUCAAUACCUGAAUAAUGAUGGUUCGAAGAAAGACGAAAUGCAAAGAAAAGAGGGUUUGCAGAAAGUUCACAGAAAUAUGGUUCACAGAAAUACGGUUUGAAGAAAUACGUAAUGAGGGUUACGUAUUUCAAUGAAAAUAUAUUGUGUGAAAUGGGAGAGAUGAUCUUGGAUGGAAAUAAGGUUCGAAAUGAAGGAGAUGAUCGUGGAAAUAAGGUUCGUAAAGGACGGGAUGAUAGGGUUUGCAAAAGAAGAGAAGAAAUGAAGGUUGAGAUGAAGGUUACGUAAUGAAGAGGAAACUGAAGAGGUAACUGUUAUAUAUACGUAACACUUUUACAGCGCUUUUUAUAAGCCUUUUACAGCGCUUAUUUUGUAAAGCGCUCUAAAAGGCUUCUUUAGUUAAAUUUUUAAAAGGCUCUUUUACAGCGCUUUUUUCAAAUAAGCGCUGUAAAAGACCUCCGUGUGUUAUUAUGUUAUUUGAAUGCCUUUUACAGCGCUUUUUUCAAAUAAGCGCUGUAAAAGACCUCCGUGUGUUAUUAUGUUAUUUGAAUGCCUUUUACAGCGCUUUUUUCAAAUAAGCGCUGUAAAAGACCUCCGUGUGUUAUUAUGUUAUAUGAAUGCCUUUUACAGCGCUUUCACACAUAAGCGCUCUAAAAGGCUUCUUUAGUUAAAUUUUUAAAAGGCUCUUUUACAGCGCUUUUUUCAAAUAAGCGCUGUAAAAGACCUCCGUGUGUUAUUAUGUUAUAUGAAUGCCUUUUACAGCGCUUUCACACAUAAGCGCUCUAAAAGGCUUCUUUAGUUAAAUUUUUAAAAGGCUCUUUUACAGCGCUUUUUUCAAAUAAGCGCUGUAAAAGACCUCCGUGUGUUAUUAUGUUAUUUGAAUGCCUUUUACAGCGCUUUUACACAUAAGCGCUCUAAAAUGUCUCUUUAUGUUAAUUUUAAGAGGCUCUUUUACAGCGCUUUUCCCAAAUAAGCGCUGUAAAAGACCUCCGUGUGUUAUUAUGUUAUAUGAAUGUUUUUUAAAGCCUUUUACAGCGCUUUUCCACAUAAGCGCUCUAAAAUGUCUCUUUAUGUUAAUUUUAAAAGGCUCUUUUACAGCGCUUUUUCCAAAUAAGCGCUGUAAAAGGCCUUAUUGUUUUUGUGUUUUGUUAUGUUAUGUUAUUUUUUAAACAAGCUCAACAUGCAUGCAAAACCCACAUAGUAGUAACUGGUCACCACAAAAAUCCCUUCCUCUUCACCAAACUCUUCUCCUUUUAUGCAUCUUCUUCACAAACAUCAAAGCUUACUCUUUCACAAUUCAAUCUCCACCUCAACACCCUUUUUAUCUCUUUACAUUCUCUUUCCUUCUUAAAUCGAAACUUAAUUGGUAUUCAGGAUCAUUGCCAUGUUGCGAAAAAUGGGUUUGUGUCUGGUGUUUUUGGGGAUUCCCAUGAUGCGUACAAGGUGUUUGAAGAAAUGGGUUUGUGUCUGAUGUUUUUUGGAUUCCCAUGAUGCGUACAAGGUGUUUGAAGAAAUGGGUUUGUGUCUGAUGUUUUUUGGAUUCCCAUGAUGCGUACAAGGUGUUUGAAGAAAUUAGGUGUCUGAUGAAUAUUAUUUUUAAAGCUUUUUUACAGCGCUUUGUCAAAUAAGCGCUGUAAAAUGUCUUUUUUACUCACUUUCAAAAGAGUCGUUUACAGCGCUUUGUGUGAAAAGCGCUGUAAAAGGUAUAAAACACUCAUUAUUUUAUUUUUAAAAGGAUCUUUUACAGCGCUUUUUAAGAUAAGCGCUGUAAAAUGUCUCUUUAUUUUAUUUUUGUGUUUGGUUUAUUUGGGUUGGGAUGACAUUAAAAACAUUUUUAUCAUUGUUUAUUGGAUUAAAAAUAUUGUUAUCAUUGUCUUUAUCACAAUACUUUAGGAGAUGAUGAAUUAUUAGAAAUGAGUAUUCUGAAGAAUCUAUAUAUAUAUAUGCACUGAGCAAAAGAGAAUCUCUCUAUUCAGUUCAGUUCAGUUCAUGUAAAUUACUAAUUUAUAUUCAGUUCAGUUCAUGUAAAUCAAGCUAAAUAUAAAACACUCAUUGUUACAUGAACUUGGUAUAAAACACUCAAAUCAAGCUAAAUAUAAGCAGAAAAUAAAUUAAUCAGAAAAUAAAUUAAUCAGAACUUAGUAUAAAACACUCAAUUCAGAUUACAUGCAUAUUUACAAUAACACAGUUCAGAUUACAUGCAUAGCUUAUAUAAAACAAUUAAACAUAUAUAUACAUUAAGAUGCCCUUCUUCUUUUCCUGGUGACAUUCACAUUUGUUUGUCCAUUUACAAUACGAAACGAUGGAUUAAUCCAAAUUCCCUCAUCAUGAUCAUCUCUAAGAUAUAAACCAUCAUCAGUUGAAUCAAUUUCAUGUGGUUGUUGUGAUGUUGCAAAUAAAAGAUCAUUACCAACAUCUUCAUCAUUAUUGUUAUCAUCACUUAUUUUAUUGGUCGAUAGGACAACAGACCAUUUAUCAUUAGAAGGAUCAGUGACAUAAAACACUUGUUGAGCUUGCGACGCUAAAAUAAAAGGCUCGUCUUUGUAUCCCACCCUAUUAAAAUCGACAAGCAAGAAUCCUGACUCAUCAAUCCGAACGCCAUUAUUAUUAUCGACCCACUUGCAACCAAAUAUGGGAACACGAAACAUUGUGUAGUCUAACUCCCAUAUGCGCUCGAUAACCCCAAAAUAUGAUAGAUUUGCAUAUAUUGGGUUUUUGUCUUUUGCACUUGAGACAUGCAUCGCUUCAGCUACGAGAGUGACUCCACUAUUUUGCAUAGUGGUCUGAUCAUCUUGUUCUUUGGUAUAAAAUGUGUAGCCGUUAAUAACAUAACCAGUGUAAGAAAAGACAUGUAAGCUCGGACCAUUUGCUAGCCACCUCAAUCUAUUUGAAAUUGAUCCGGGGUCUAUAUCAAAUUUUGACAUUAUGUGAUUUUUUAACCAUGUUACAAAACUUCGAUUGUGCUCUCGAGUUAUCCAAUUUUGAUUCCUAUUCAUGUUCAAACGAGAUAACUGAUCAAUGUGUAUUGUAACAUACGGUUGAACCUCAUCAUCAUUGUGCAGAACAUACAAUUGUGCCUGCUCCCAUUCUGUCCUUGAUAUAGUCAGUAGUCUCCUUCCAGUUAUCCCUUCUCCUGAUAGUCUUCCCGAAUGACGAGACAUGGGAAGCCCUAUGGAUUCAACAUUGGACAGAUAUUCAGUACAAAAUUCAGCAGCCUCUUCAACAAUGUAUCGUUCAGCAAUACAACCUUCUGGUCGACUUCUACUUUUUACGUACCCUUUUAAUAUUUUCAUAUAUCGUUCUAUCGGAUACAUCCAUCUCAUAUAAGCUGGCCCACAAAGUUGUGUCUCCUUAACCAGAUGAACAGUAAGGUGAACCAUUAUAUCAAAAAACGAUGGUGGGAAAUACAUUUCAAGCUCACACAAAGUAACAACAAUUUCCCUCUGCAAUGUCGGUAAUUUCUGAGGGUCGAUCACUUUACUACAAAUUUCCCUGAAGAAGAAACAUAAUCUAGUUAAGGCUAGUCGAACUUUUUCAGGUAAAAUGGAACGUAUACCUAUUGGUAGCAAAUGCUCCAUUAUAAUAUGACAAUCAUGGGUCUUCAAACCUUUUAACUUGAGGUCUUUCAUACAAACCAAAUUUUUAAUGUUCGAAGAGUAUCCUUCUGGAACUUUAACUUCGUGUAGAAAUUUACAUAAAACAAUUUUUUCCUUUCUAGAUAGAGUAUGAGCGGCUGGAGGUAGAUAUGUGCGAUUUCCUUUCUUUACUGGAGCCAGUUCAUUUCUUAUUCCCAUAUCGACCAAGUCCAAUCUUGCAUUGACGCCAUCUUUAGACUUUCCUGGAACAUUGAGUAACGUACCAAUAACACUUUCAAAUACAUUUUUCUCAAUAUGCAUCACAUCGAGGAAAUGUCUUACAUACAAUGACUUCCAAUAUGGCAAUUCAAAGAAAAUUGACUUUUUCUUCCACCCAGUUUUCACCAGCUCUCCCGCAAAAGGUUUGCCAAAUUUAUUGGUCAAACCUUGUACUUUUUCAAGUAUUUGAUAUCCAGUCGGUGCUAAAGGAGCUUUACCUUCCUCUGAUUUUCCAUUGAAUGCAUUUCUCCACCCACGAUACUGAUGACUAUAAGGUAAAAAUCUACGAUGUCCAAGAAACACAUUCUUCUUACAAUGUUUCAACCGCAUCCAAUUUGUACUCUCUUCACAUAUAGGACAUGCACACUGACCUUUAAUGCUAUAUCCUGAUAAAUUACCAUAUGCUGGAAAAUCAUUAAUUGUGCCGAACAACAUAGCCCUCAAAUUGAAACAUUCUUUCUUAUACCCAUCAUAAACUUCCACACCUGUCUCCCACAUACUUUUUAAAUUUUCGAUUAGAGGAGUCAAGUAUACGUCGAUAUCAUUCCCCGGUUGUUUGGGUCCAGAAAUUAACAGAGACAACAUCAUAAACUUACGCUUCAUACAUAACCAUGGAGGUAGGUUAUAUAUUACCAAAAUCACAGGCCACGUGCUAUGUGAGAUGCUUUGAAGACCAUGUGGAUUCAUUCCAUCAGUAGAAAGUGCAAGUCUUAGAUUUCUUGACUCUAUCCCGAAUUCAGGAUACUCGUGAUCAAUUUUUGCCCAUUGUGGGGAAUCUGCAGGGUGUCGAAACAUUCCAUCUCUAAUUCUUUCAUCUGCAUGCCAUGUCAAGUGUUUUGAAUCUUCUUCACUGCGAUACAUGCGCCUAAAUCUUGGUAUUAUAGGAAAAUACCACACGACUUUUGCUGGAGUAGAUUCUUUCUUCUUAUAUCGAGAGACAUUGCAUUUCGGACACGCCUUAAGUAGUUCAUAUUCGUUUCGAAAUAAAAUGCAAUCGUUAGGACACGCAUGAAUCCUUUCGUAACUCAUUCCAAUAGAACACAAAAUCCGUUUAGCCUCGUAGGUUCGACUGGGAAGUUCAUUAUCAUCUGGCAACAUAUCUUUUAUGAGUGUUAAUAAUUCUGUAAAGCUUUUAUCAGACCAUCCAUUACUCGCUUUUAAGUUGUACAACUUUAAUAUCGCUGACAGUCUUGUGAAUUUAGUACAACCAUUAUAUAAUUCUUUCUCUGCAUCACUCAACAAACUUUCAAACAUUUUAGGACAAUCUCGAAGAUCUUCUUCAACUGCUUUUGCAAUCUCAUCAACUCGGUCCGGCUCAUAUGUAUCUGUAUCGAAAUCAGUUGAAGCAUAUGUAGAACUAUUCUCAAAAUUAAUGUUUCCUUUUUUUUUCUCACCAUGUCUUAUCCAACAUGUGUAGCUUUGAUCAAUUCCAUUACAUACUAGAUGUCCUUCUAAUUCAUCUUCUCUAACACGUUUUCCAAAACAACAUUUUAAACAAGGACAAACUACUCUAUUUGGAUCUUUUGCAUUCUUCACUGCAAACUCAACAAACUCCUUCACUCCAAUUUCAUACUCUUUUGACAAUCGAUUGGCUGAAAUCCAUUUCCUAUCCAUAUUAUACCACCUAUAUAAAUGCAGUAACAAAAAUAAUAAGCUUUCAAAACAUAUCAACAAGUUUCAAAAAGAAACCAAUAUCAACUAAAAAUUUCAAAACAGAACAGAUCAUGUGGUAUGAGUUUUUGACAAUUUUUGACAAUUUCAAAACAUAACAGAUCAUGUGUAAAAAAUACCUUAUACAACGUAGAUGGCCGCACAGUACGUAGAGGAUAUUAGGGUUCCCAACGUAUAUAAUUAUUUGAAAGAUGUAGAGGAUAUGAGGGUUUCCAACGUAUAUAAUUAUUUGAAAGAUGUAUUUUACAGCGCUUGUUCCAACGUAUAUAAUUAUUUGAAAGAUGUAGAGGAUAUGAGGGUUUCCAACGUAUAUAAUUAUUUGAAAGAUGUAGAGGAUAUGAGGGUUUCCAACGUAUAUAAUUAUUUGAAAGAUGUAGAGGAUAUGAGGGUUUCCAACGUAUAUAAUUAUUUGAAAGAUGUAUUUUACAGCGCUUGUGAAAAAAGCGCUAUAAUAGGUAGUUAAAUUCAAUGAAAGCGCAUGUAUUUUACAGCGCUUGUGAAAAAAACGCUGUAAUAGGUAGUUAAAUUCAAUGAAAGCGCAUGUAUUUUACAGCGCUUGUGAAAAAAACGCUGUAAUAGGUAGUUAAAUUCAAUGAAAGCGCAUGUAUUUUACAGCGCUUGUGAAAAAAACGCUGUAAUAGGUAGUUAAAUUCAAUGAAAGCGCAUGUAUUUUACAGCGCUUGUGAAACAAGCGCUGUAAUAGGUAGUUAAAUUCAAUGAAAGCGCAUGUAUUUUACAGCGCUUGUGAAACAAGCGCUGUAAUAGGUAGUUAAAUUCAAUGAAAGCGCAUGUAUUUUACAGCGCUUGUGAAACAAGCGCUGUAAUAGGUAGUUAAAUUCAAUGAAAGCGCAUGUAUUUUACAGCGCUUGUGAAAAAAGCGCUGUAAUAGGUAGUUAAAUUCAAUGAAAGCGCAUGUAUUUUACAGCGCUUGUGAAAAAAGCGCUGUAAUAAGUAGUUAAAUUCAAUGAAAGCGCAUGUAUUUUACAGCGCUUGUGAAAAAAGCGCUGUAACUGAUUCGCGAAAGCGCUUCCUUUUACAGCGCUUUUUUGACAAGCGCUGUAAAAGCCUUAUAACGUGAUGCGCAAACGUUAUAUGACCUACUACAGCGCUUGUUUUACUGUGCUUUGCAUCAAAAGCGCUGUAAUAGGUUCCGUUAUUUUUAAAAUAUAAUUACAACAGCGCUUGUGUUUAGCAAGCGCUGUAAAAUGGGCGCUGUUAAAUGUCAUUUUUGGCGUAGUGCGUUAUAAGAUACAAAAAUCCAUAAAAUCUUCUGAGUUGAGAACCCCAAAAAUAAAAAUGAUAACCAAAAUUAGCAUUUGUUUGCCUUAAUUCAAGGCCAAGAAGCUAAUUUAACCUAUUCAAAUUUAUUAUCAAAUAAUAUACGUUAAAAAAGUUCUAAUAUAUUUUUAUUAAAUAUUAUUCUUGUUAAAGUUGUUCUCAUAUUUCUAAUUUAUUUAAUAGUUAAGAGAAUUUUCGGUGCUUACAUCAUAUAUUGUUUGUGUAAUAUAAAAUAUUAUAUCUCUAUCAGAAUAUUGAUGAUAUUCUCUCUACCAUAUAUGUAUUUUACAACUAAACUUUUCAUUUGAUUAAUGUGUUAAUCGUAAAUUAUAUUACCUUUUCAAAAGAAUUAUUGCGUUUGAUUGUCUUUAACAUAUGUACAUAUUACGUUAAAUUUUAAAUAUUAAUUUAUAUACAAUCUCAAUUUUAUAUCUAAUAUAAUAGUUGGAUGAUGAUUUUCAUUAGGAUACAAAAUUAAUUGAAAGUUAUUCUAUUAUAUUAUUGUGUAGUUUAUGCAAAAUAAAAUGCAGUAUAAUUAAAAUUUUAUAUAUUAUUUAUUUUAUAAUUUUUCUCAAAAUUCAUGUCAUAAGAAGAAGAAGCUAGAGUGACAUCCAUGUGAGUAGUGUUAGUGUGACGAUGGAGAAUCUUAUCAUUAUCAAUAUGAAACUCUCUUUUUCUUCAUUUGAUUAUUAAAUCUUUAUUUUGGUGUAAAUUUACUUUGAUAUUGAAAUGGCAAUAGGAGACUUCUUUCUUCAUUUGAUUAUGUACCUUGCUAUGUCAUAAGGAUUGUUGAAGCACUCUAGACAAUGGCAAUAUUAUGAGUCUUUUUGUAUGUUGCUGAGUGAGUAUUGCAUUUCAAAAGCAAACCCAUAGAUUAGUGAGUGAGUGACUGAGUGGAACACAGUGUGCUUGCAGCAAUGCUUUUACUUCAAUUAGUAUAAUAAUCAAAGUGUUAAAGCUUCAUCUCUCUCAACAAUGGCAAAAGAAAAGAAGAAUGUGUGAGGAGUAAAAUGCAUAUAAUCGAACAUCAUGCAUAUGAGUUCGGAAUCAGUACACUUGCUUAAUGUAAGGUUAAUUCCUUUAAAUACUUUUUCAGGUAAAGACAUAUACUUUGCCAUAUGAUAACUUUUUUUUUCCUUCUUGUGAAUCUAUAAUAGUAUUAACAUUCUCCACCAAUAUUUGUACUUUGUAUAUAUUACUAAUUAGAAUUCACUAUUUACUUCACUUGCUUUCAUUUUUCUGACACAAUAUAUUUGUCGAAAAACACAAUGCAAUGACUAUGCUCUCUCCUUUAAAAAAAAAAAUAUUAAGAAUGGUUGUGCCACGAAAUUAAUAAAUAUGGUUUCUAUCUUGUUUAUGGUUGUGUUAACUAUCACCUCACUCCUAUUUUUUUUUCACCAUUCUUGUAUAGUUGUAAUUGAUCUGCUUUAUUGAGUCACUAAGCUUAAAGUAUUGUACUACUUCUUUUUGUGUAUUCAACCACAAAUUAGAUAAAGUAAAAAAAAAUAGCUUAUUGGGCAAGUAGCUAGAGAUUAAUUUCAUUUUCUUUUUGCUUAUUCAUUUGCUAUUCAACCAUAAAUUAGAUUAAAGGAAUCUUUCAUUUAGACAUACUAUAAUUUGAAUGGUUCCAAAUAAUGUAUAUCAUCUAAAAACAACAAAAGUUAAGAGUGGGCUACCAUAGAGAAAAGAGAAGAUUAAAAUAGGAACAUGAAUAUAUUCAUGUGUGUGUGUAAUAACUUAUUACAAUCUCCUCAUACUUAUUUGGCCUAAAUAAUUUACCAAGUACCAAUUAUGUUAUCUUUGUUUAUUACAAAUGGUUCCACACAAAUACACUAUCAUUCUGACUUAUUUCUUUCUUUAUCCUUUAUGUGUCAUAUAUAACUACUAACAAAAUGGUAAUUAAUAAAAAAAAUAGGGGUAAGAUAAUAGAUGGAGAAUAUUCUCACAGAUCCCUUUCUUUCACAAGUUAACAAAAUUUCUUUGUUAGCAUCGAUUUAAGAGACACCAAUGCAUUUUGUUAGUUAGAAACAAUGUUAUAUGAACAAGUUCAAUGUUUAUUUCUUAGAUUAGUAACUAGUGAAACACCAUAUACGUGAAGAGAAGAGAAUGUUAAAAUAAGAAUCUUGAUACCAUAAUAUAUUAAUUAACACAGUUUUUUACCUUGGUGACUAGGAAACACAUAAGAGCAUGCAUGGUGGGUUCGAUGUUGCUAAAAAUGUGAGUUCUAAAGAAAAAAAAAAGAAUUAAAAAGCACAAAUAAAAAGCAUGCAACAACAUGAAUUAAAAAACAAAAGUAAUUAGAGAAUGCAACAAUUCAACAAAGACUAUUCUCACAAAUCUCUUUCUUUUGCAACUCAACCAAAUUUCUUUGUUGGCCUCCAAUUAAGAGACACCAAUGCACUUUUUUUUAUUUAAUAAAUUGACGAACUAGCAUGUAAGAUUUAAUUUUUAUUUUUAUCCUUGUACUUAAAAUUCAUAUCUUUAUUAGCUUUUGUGUGGUCUGUGAGUCACCGCCAUAAUCUUCAUACAUUACUCUUUUAGUUGAGGUUGGGUUUUUAGUUGGGUUGGAUAAAUUAAUGAAUCAAAUUUAGUCUUUUUGUUUGGUUGAGCUAGUUAAACAACUGACAAAAAAAUUGUCAACUAAAGUUUGAAUUAAUUUAAAAAAUAGCAAUUUAGCAAAAGUUUAAUUGUAGUUUUGAUCUUUUAAUUUAUUUUAUUAAUUCUUUGACUUGAUCUCCGUAUUUUAAAAUCCGACAAUUUUAGUUUAUCUAUCAAAAUUUUCAACUAAAAAAAUGACGUGACAUAUUUUAAAGGAUUGACUUAUAAUACAAUGAUUUUGACUGAUUAAUACCCAUAAAAUUGAAAUAAAAUAUUCCAAAAGCUUUAGUUUCAACUUCAACAAUGAUUUAUUUGUAUAAUUAAAUUAAUAACAUAUGAAUAAUUAAUCUAUCAAGAUGGUUGUAAAUAAUAGCAUCAUAUAUCAUGUCAUUUAAAAGAUGUUAAAUCAUCAUUUUAUUAGUUAAAAAAUCUGAAGGAUAGACCAAAAUUGUCGCUUUAAAAAAUAGGAGGAUCAAUUCUAAUAAUUGGUAAAAAUAGAUAGACCAAAAUUGUAGUAUACUAUUUUUUAAUCUAGUAUGACAAUCCAACUUGCCUCGCCUCGUGAUCCUCUAUUUUUUUUUAUAGAUUAAACGAGGUGGCCCGACAUAGGUAUAUCAGUUAUAUGCGGUGCAUACUCCACAAUUUAAAGGAUUUCUUUUUAGAUUGCUUGCAAAAUGGUUCGGCAUGUGGUUAAUUUGUUUGGAUCCCAUUUUACAGGGCAUGUGUCUUUCACGAAGUUGGAGUUAUAGAUUCUUCUGACUGAUUGGGUUCAUGGUCGACCCCGUACAACUAUCAUUCAAGUUUAUUGGUCUUCAACUCUUUCUAAUUUGAUAAAGUGUAAUAUUGAUGGCGCAACCAGAUACACACCUAAUGAUGUUGGUGGCGAAAGGUAUUUUCGAAAAUAGCAUAACUACUUUACUUUUAUUGGUAGUUUUGAGAUGAAGUUUGUCAUCACUAUUACUUUUCAUAUAGAGUUGUUAGUGGAUAUGUUUUAUAUGUAAAAUUCUUAUUCAUGAGGUUAACUUUGUCUUUGAUUAGAAAAAAACUAUUUGGUUGUAGUUGGCUCUUUAAAGGAUCAUAGUUGGAUCCUUUGACACUUAUAUAUGAUCAGGUGGAAAAAUUAUUAUUUCUUUAGAGAUGUAUGAAUUUUAUGAUUUGUCUCAUAUUUAUCAAAAAAACAAUUGUGUGGAUAAAUUAGUAAAUCAUGAAAAUACUGCUUCAACUUUACAUCUAUGGGAUUAUUUAAUUUAUAUGCGUUCAUUAGGGGAUACUUAUUUUAUAAUAGAUUUUGUUUUCUGGCGAUCGUUUCUAUUGAUAUAUAUUUAUUUUGUUUUGAAUUUUAGUUUUUGUUUGCAUUGUACUUUUUUUUUCUUUCACUAUGGUUUUAUCUCAAUGACUUAUUCAAAUAAAUUUUUUAAUGAAGGAAUUGAUUAACAUUUUAAAUGACUGUAUUCUUUAGAUUUGGUUUAGUCCCCAAUAUGUUUCCUUUUGUUUAUGUUUUAAUAAUAACUUUAAGUAAGUGCAAGUAAUUUUUUUUAAAGGGUUAUGAUCUUGUAAAAAAUAGUUAAGAUAAUUUUUUUAACUCUAUGGUUCUUAGAGAAAAGAGUUCUAGUAAUAUAGAGUUCGACUGAUAUGUAAGUAAAAUCUGAUCAAUAGUUGUUUUAGUUAGAAUUUGAAUUCAAGUUCUUCUAAACAAUAUUCACUACUAGAAAAUCUACUUUUAGCGUCGGCCGGAAACCCACGCUAAAUGACAAAAAGCCGACGCUAAUGGCGAUUUAGCGUCGGAUUAGCGUCGGUGUCGAGCCUAGGCUAAAACGGUCGAAGCUAAUGGGGUAGCGUCGGCUGAACCCACGCUACGCCGACGCUACUAACAAUUACAAAACAUUCGACGCUAGUUAUAUCCUUGACACGUCAUUUGUUAAAAUUCAGUUGUGUCGGAUGGACGACGCUAGAGUUCACUAAAUUUUAAUACUGUAGCGUCGGUCUUGCCGACGCUAGUGGACCAAAAUGGAAAUUUGUGGAAGUCUGGCAACACGAUUAGGGUCGUUCCAGAUAUGACACAAUUAAAAAUUUCAAUCUUUAUCCUAAUGCAACAUGAAACUUUUCAAAACUAAAUUUGACAAAGGUUGAUAGAGGCUGUUGCAGUUUCUAUAAAAUUAACUCAAUAAAAAAUUCACUUGUAACCAAUCAUAUGUUUUGAAUUCAUCUAAUAAAUUGAAAAGGAAAAAUAUAUAAGAAUCAUGCAUACCCUUAAACCAACCAUAGUUGUUCCAUAGUCUAUAGAUCAAUGGUGCAUUCAAUUAGUCAAUACCAACAAAAUAUGUAAAAAAAAAUCAUAAACACAUCACUAAAAACAUUAUUGGUAAAAAACUAAACAAUAUAUCACCUUUAAUAUUUUGUCCACAUGCUUUUGCAAUACCACAACUUAGUGGAUACAAAAUAUCAUCUAAAUCUGCAAAACAAUAUCAUAAUUACAAUCAUAAACUAUAUGAAAUUUCCAAUUAUGAAAUUAAAUUAAUACAUGAAUUUUGUGACUAAUUAAAAGACUCACCAAAAAGAAGACAGUCAUAUUUUUGUCUAUGAGCUUGUCUGAAUCUGUUCUCAUACUCCAUUUCAAGCAGAAAAUCUUAUAAUAAAAAAAAAUUAAGUGAACACUACUUUACAUGUCAUGAGAAAGAAAAAAAUAUGGACCUUUAGAUCAUGGGUACACCAUCCUCAGCAACCUGGAAUAUUUAAUAAGAAUAUCAUAUAGAGAAAAGCUAAUUAAACUAAAUAAAUGAUUGAACUAUAACAUGAGUAAUUAGUAAACCUCUAAGUCAACAGAAAUAGCAUGAGUAAUUAGCAAACCUCUAAGUCAACAGAAAGCACAUCAAUUAAUUUAUAACCACCAAUCCAAACAAGUUGAGUUCCCUUGGGCCACACUAAAAUGCCAUUGUUACGCAUUCGCCAAAUCUUUGUGAAUGGGGUAGAUGGAGCCAUCAUUGUACCAUCCAAGACAUUGAUAUCCAAAAUGAACCAACUAUCUUGCUUUGGCCUUGCAUGCUUCAAAAGAGCACUUGUAUUAAAAAUAUGUGGUGUGAUCUUUGAAUGCCUCUGCAACAUAAAAGAAAAAAGGUAUAAAAGAAUUGAGUUCAAGUGAGGUUACAAAUUCUUCAGCAUUCUGAUAUGAACAUCUUAGAGCCUGAGAAGAUGUGGGAUGGUCCAUGUUGAUAUAAUCAGUCUGAUUACCAAUUUCACCUAUUGAAGAUAAACUAAAAUUAAAACUUUUUCGCACUAGCAUAUUAGUAAACUAUGGUUAAUUGCAAAAUACAAUUACAAAUAUAUAAGAGUAAAUAUUUAAUGAAACCACACCUCAGUUACAAGAGAACAUUCUCCGCAUUAUAAACAUAUUUCCAUGGAAAAGCCAACAUCAAUAUUUCAAAAUAGAUACUAUAACAGAAACAUGAUUAUUUUCAGCAAAUAACAAUUACUAAGUGAAUUUACAUUACCUGCAUCUAGAAAUAGAUGUACAAAAGUUAUUAUCUAAUGUAAUCACCAUGCACCAGUUACACGAGAACAUUGUGCUGGAUACGCAGGUGCCGAAAACCACNNNNNNNNNNNNNNNNNNNNNNNNNNNNNNNNNNNNNNNNNNNNNNNNNNNNNNAUACUCACCUGUUUAUGAGUUUCCAAGAAAACAUACAACAAUCUAUUACAAGACGCUCGAACCUUAACUCGAUCAUUCAAGAAAUUGAGCGAAAAUUGAAAGACACCCCUUAAAUUAUUAACACAUAUUCAGCUAGAUUUGGACUCUGAUAACAAAUCUGAAAUCUCAGGUUCUUCCUAGAAAUAUCAUUGUAUAAUAUUGAAUGAAAAUUAUCCAAACUCAACCUAUACCACAAUUUACACACAGUUUUGAUCCUAAAAAGGGAUUUCACUGGUAACCUAGCAAGAAUCUGAAUAACAACCUCAUAUGCAAAAAUCCCAUCUCCUAAUUUAAAAUCCAAAACUAUAUACAAAUUAUUUUAAUAACAAAUUAAAAAAAUUUUAAAAAUUUGGGUUGCGAAAAAACAAGAUAAAGAUUUCAACUUUGCUUACCAGAACAAAAUUGGGGGUAUGCGAUGAAACUGAAAUUGCUGGAAUAAUGAGAAAGUUGAAAAUGAUAAUGAAAUAAACUAGAAGACACAUAGAUGAAUAGAGAAGAAUGGUGGUGGUGGUGGUUGGUUUGUGGCGGUGGUUGGUCAGAAUCGAGAGUGAAGGAGAAGAAACUGAGAACGAAGGAAAGCAAAAGAGAGGGUUUUUUGGUGAGUGAAGGAAAGACGAAAGGCGGCGUGAUGGCGAAGUGGCGGCGUGAUAGCUAUCGUUGAGAUGCAAUGGUGCGGCGUGAUGGUUUGUGUGCCCGUUGAAGUUUGGUAAAGGCAAGAUUGAAAAACUAAGGUGUGAUUAGGUUUGGGGAACUUUUAUAUUUUCCUAUUUUACUUUUCAUGUAUGUUAAAAAAUUGAACAAUUUUAAUGGGUAUUAACAAAAUCAGUUAAUUUUACUCUACUUUUCUACAAUUGACAUAAAAAAUUUAUUUUUUUAAUAAUUUUAUGUUACAUUUAAGAAUUAAUAUAUUUUGAUAUUAUUAAAUUAAAUUAUUCAUAAUUAAUUAACAUAUAGUUUACAAAUGAGUUUGACUAUAUUUUAGAUUUGUUAUCAUUAAUUUUUUAAGUUUUCAUCAAUUUAGAAUAAUUUUUAAAUAAAGUUUUUUGUUAUGAUUCUUGUAAAAAUUAAUAUUAAUAUUAAAAUUUUAAUUACAAAAAUAAUUUAUCAAAUUAUUUGAGUCAAAAUUGAAUAGAUAAAUAUAUCAAAACAUUUAAUUUAAUUAAUUAAAUAAUUACUAUAACAAUACGCACAUAGAUAAAUAAAUAAAAAUGAUCGGUCAAAAUAUUGGUAGUAUUUAUAACUUGUCUUACUUUUUUAUUUUGUUUAAAACACAAUUAUAUUUUAUUUAUAUAAAAAUAAACAAAAAAAAUUAUAUAAAUCACAAAAACAAAAUAGUUGAAUAAAAAGGAGCAAAUGAUCGGAAAAAUAAACAUACAAAAUUUUUAUUGAAAAAUAAAUAAAACUCACAAAUCAGGAAUGUAGCGUCGGUUGUGCCGACGCUAUAAGGGUAAUUAAAGUUUAAAAAUAAAGUAGCGUCUGUCAUACUUUCGGUAGCGUCGGCUGGGCCGCCGCUAAUAAUUAAUAAAAACAUAAAAAGGAAUUUGGUGAGUUAGCGUGCGCUGAGCCGACCCUAAAUAUGGCAGCUAAAACCAGUUUUUCUAGUAGUGAUUGUAGAUUAAGUAGUUAUAAUAUUAUAUGCAUAUCCAUAGACAUAUAGUAGUUGGUGAAAUUAAUGUAGAAUAAAAAAUCAUUCUUUAUGGGUAUUAUUUUAAAUUUGUGCUUUAUAAAAAACUAAGAUGUUAAAAGUCAGUCAACUUAAGUAAAAAUAGAUAAAAGGGUAAAAAGAUAUUAAGGUUUGAACAUCAUUAAUGUCUAACUAUUUCAAUUUUAAUAUUUUAAAUAUUCUCUCUAUGUCUAUAAAUAAGUGCAUAUUGCUUUAACAUAUAUAUUACUCAAUAAGAUUUUUAUAAAAAAUAAUUAUUCUCUAUAAAAUAUUUUGUUUUUCAUUGCAAACCGAGUUUGGUUACUAUGGAAAUUUUGUCAAAGAUAUGUUGUAUGUUUGUGUUAUUUUUUUCUAUUAUAGGUUCUGUAGUUGGCUAUGGACAUGGUUUUCCACCUUGUUGAGAAAUGUUAAGACCAUGUGAUCCGAUUUUUUGUGAUAGACCUCCAUGUUGCCUCCCUCUAUCUAGUGAUGUUAGUGAUGUUAAACCCUAAAACUAUGCAACUCUACACCAAUUAUUUGUAUUUGAGAAAUAUCAUCUCAUAGAUAUUAUAAUUGCAUUAAUAAGAUUGGUUUAUAAAUUAUAUUUCUUUAUUCUCUUCGAUUAUAGUAUUCUUUAUAAGAUAUUUGAAGUAGUGUUUGAGCUUAUAACAUUUAUUUUUUCUUUUAUUUUUAUUCUAAUUGUCUUUGCAGCCAAACUAAAAUAACUAAAAGUUCACAUAAAACAGUAGUUAGAGAAUGUGAACCUUUAGACUUAAUACACUCUGAUAUAUGUGAACUUGAUGAGACAUUAACCAGAAAUAGAAAACGUUAUUUCAUCACUUUUAUUGACGAUUGCUCUUAUUACACUUUUGUAUAACUAAUGAAAAAUAAAAGUGAAGCGCUUGACAUGUUUAAGAUCUUUGUAACUGAAAUUGAAAAUCAAUUUAGUAAAAAAAUUGAGAGGUUUCGUAGUGAUAGAGGAACAUAGUAUGAUUCUAGUUUAUAUAAUGAAUUUUAUAAAACCCAAGGAAUUAUACAUGAAACUAUUGCUCCAUAUUCACUUGAAAUUAAUGGUAAAGCUGAAAGAAAGAAUAGAACUCUUACUGAACUAGUUGUUGCCAUUAUGCUUAACUCUGGUGCUGCAUUUCACUGGUAGGGAGAAAUUAUUUUGACUGUUUACUAUAUUUUGAAUAGAAUACCUAAAUCUAAAAACAAAACAUCUCCUUAUGAGAUAAUGAAGAAAAGACAACCUAACUUGUCUUAUCUUCGAACAUGGGGUUGUCUGGCUUAUGUCAGAAUCCCCGAUCCCAAGUGAAUUAAUCUUGCUAGUAGAUCAUAUGAAUGUGUAUUCAUUGGGUAUGCAGUAAACAGUAAAGCGUAUAGAUUCUAUGACCUAAAUGCUAAAGUGAUCAUAGAAUCAAAUAAUGUUGACUUCUAUGAAAAUAAAUUCCCUUUCAAAUCAAGAAAUAGUGGAGGCAGCGAACCUAGUCAAGUUCCUGUGACAAGAAGCACUGAAAGCAACAACCAAGGCAUAAAAGAAAUUCGAACAAGUAAGAGAGUUAGAAUUGUCAAAUAUUAUGGACCCAAAUAUAUCGCUUAUAACUUAGAAGAAGUUCCUGCAAAUCUAAAAGAAGUUUUGUCAUCAUUGGAUGCAGAUUUAUGGCAAUAAGCUAUAAAUGAUGAAAUAGAUUCCCUAGAGUCUAACGAGACCUGACAUUUAGUAGACUUGCUUCCUAGUUGCAAACCAAUAGGUUGUAAAUGGAUAUUUAAAAAGAAACUAAAAUCUAAUGUAACUGUUGAUAAAUACAAGGCACACCUUGUAGCCAAAGGUUUUAGACAAAUAAAAAAAUAUAGAUUUCUUCGAAACUUUUUCACCAGUCACUAGAAUAACAUCCAUAAGGGUGUUCAUAUGACUUGCGGCUAUUCAUAACCUGGUGAUACACCAGAUGGAUGUUAAAACAACUUUUUUAAAUGGUGACCUGGAAGAAGAAAUUUAUAUGGAACAACCUGAAGGUUUUGUAAUUCAUGGACAAGAAGACAAGGUCUGUAAGUUAGAUAAGUCUCUGUAUGGUCUUAAACAAGCUCCUAAGAAAUGACAUGAAAUUUUUGGAUAACUUGAUUAUAUCGAAUGAGUUUAAAGUGAAUGAAAGUGACAAAUGUAUUUAUUACAAAUUUGAAAAAUGGCAUUUGCAUUAUCAUAUGUCUAUAUGUAGACGACUUACUCAUAUUUGAUUCAAACAUUCAUGCUGUAAAUAAUGUGAAAUCUUUGUUGAGUAACAACUUUGAUAUGAAAGACCCCAGAGAAGUAAAUGUAAUCCUUGGAAUCAAAAUUACUAGGUUAGAAAACGGAAUUUCUUUGGAUCAAUCUCACUAUGUUUAAAAGAUCAUAAAGAAAUAUAAUUACUUUGACUAUAAACCUGUUUGCACACAAUAUGAUUCAAGUGUGAAACUUUUUAAGAACACAGGUGAAGGUGUUAGGCAAACUGAAUAAUCGAGCAUCAUUGGCAGCCUCAAGUAUGCCACUGAUUGUACUAGACCCGACAUUGCCUACGUCGUGAGAUUGUUGUGCAGGUUUACUAGUAGACCUAGUAUGGAGCAUUGACAUGCUAUCGAAAGAGUCAUGAGAUACCUUAAAAGGAAACUCAAGGAUUGCGUUUUACUAUUGAAUUAUAUUUAGUUACUAAAAUUGAACAAAAAGUUCCCAAGUUGAUUGAAAUAAUAUUUAAAAUUGACAACAGUAGUAAAAUUGAUACUUUAUAAAUUGAGAAAAAUGUUAGGGAUGAGUUUUACUUCGAAUCCAACCUUGGUGUCUAAUUUGAUCCUAGUUACUGAAUUUCUUUAUUGAAUUAUUACCGAAUACUCUUUAUUAUUUUUGCCCUAAUGUCUUAGUGACAGAACCUUUAAUUUCAAAGUAAUCCCUAAUUCCUUAGUAAAUUUAAUAUUAAAAUUAAAAAUUACCGUAUAGAAAUUCUCUUGUAAAUUAUUGCUUUGCAACUAAUUUAAUUGGUUUCAUGACCUACAUCUAUGUCUAGACUACAAAUUCAUGAAUUUCAUAUCUCAAGCAUUCGUAAAGUCCACUUUCUUUUCAAAAUAAAAAUCAUAGAACAUUUUAAUGUUGAUCAAGCAAUAAAAAGCAUUAAGCACAGAGAUGAGAAAAAUAAUUCAAUAAACUCAUUCAUAUAACUAGAAAUCAAAUCAUAAAAAUAAGGAUUUCAUCUUGUUACACUCAUCUCAAACAAAUAGGGUUUAGUUACUCAUGACAUAGAUAAAAAAGAUAGAGAUUAGAGAAGAAUUACAAGAAAGAUUCAUGAAUGAUUCUUGAUAAAACAGCUCCAAUGAUGUUAGAAACGGUCGUCUUUGAGUUUCUAUGCUAGGACACAAGUCUCCCAACUUCCCAAGAGUCCAAAAGAUCCCUAAAACAGUGAAAAAUUGUGUUUUUAUGAAUGCUGAUGCGCGUCACGCGCCCCAGGCGCAGGAAACGCGCUACAGGCGCGCCUGGACAGUGCUGAAUGGCUGGAAAUACGCCUCAAGCACGGCUGACGCGCUUCAGGCGCACAACAUCUGUUGUCUGACGUAUAUUGCUUGUUACCCCUCUUUUUGAGUUUGAAUAUGGUUUCAGUGUCUUCAUGAAAGUUGUAGCUAUGAAUCUUAGCUUUCAUUUGCACUUGGUGUGACUCCAAUUGAACAUCUAAAACUCCAUAUAUGGCUGAAAUACGCAGCAUAGGUCAUGUUGAUUUCUCACCAAAAUUCAACAAUGCACUAAAACAAAGUAACAACGCAAAACUAAGAAAAAUCUCUACUUAAUCAAGCAAAUAAGAACAUAAACAUUUCAUUAAAUCAUAGAACUAAAAUCAACAAAAUAUAUCAAAUAACUCCUUAAAUUAACUAAUGGUUAAAGAUAAAUAAGACUAAAAUCAAUGAAAAAUAUGCAUAUGAUGAAGAGUCAUCAUUGACUCCAAAGCAAACCAGUGGCUACAUUUUCUGUAUAGUCGGUGGUGCUGUAUCAUGGAAAUUGAAGAAACAGACGAUAUUGGCUUCAGUCCACUAUGGAGUCUGAAAUAAUAGCAGUAGCUAUUGCUAGUGAAGAAGCAAGCUGGUUCCGAUGCUUGCUAGCAGAGAUCCUCUUGUGGGAAAAACCUCUGCCAUUUGUGUUGAUCCAUUGCGUUAGUAUCACGACUAUUGCAAAAAUUGAAAAUCAUUAUUACAACGGUAAGAGACGACAAAUACGUCGUAAGCACACCACCGUUAGAGAAUUACUUUCUAAAGGAGCUGCUAUAGUGGAUCAUGUACCCACUGAUGAUAAUUUAGCAGAUCCUUUGAUGAAAUGAUUAAUUAGAUAGAAAGUACUAAAUACAUCCAAAAGGAUGGGACUAUUUCCUAUAGAUCAAUGAGUCACUUAUGACCUAAAAGACUGGAGAUCCCAAGAAUUUGAUUCAAUAGGUCAUAACAAGUCAUAGUGAUAAGAAAUGAACAUGUUAUAUUACAUAUGAAAAAAGCAUGAUUCCUAAAGCAAAAAAAGGAUGAGAUAAUAGAAACUCUUAAUGAGAACUAUACUCUAUGUGGAGUGGAAUACCUAGCUACAAGAGUACUCUUGAUAGACUCACCUAUGUGAAUGUGGAAGUGAGACCGCUUCCUAUGAAAUUUCGAGGCAUAAUUCCUAGAGCGUUCACUAUACUGGGAUAGACGUGCAUGACCAUAAAUGCACGUGCUUUUGAGAAUACACCCAAAUGAAAAGGUUGUGUGUGGGUUUGAUGUCAAAGAUAGAGUUCAUGACUACGAUUCACUCUUGUUGAAUCCGAAUCUUACUUGUUAUGCAAAGGUUCAAGUCAAUAGACACAUUUGUUUAUGCACAAUCUUAUAGAAGUGUUUGACUCUAUUUCAAAAACAUUCUUUUUAAAUUCAAGUGGGGGAUUGUUGGAAAUGAUGAUGAUUUUAAUGGAAGUUUGUUGGAAAUAAUGAUGACAUUAAUGAGAGCUAGUGUUGUUGUGAAUUGAAAAAUAAGAAAGUCCCACAUAUGAGGGAUAUCACACACUAGUAGGGUAUAUAAAGUGGAGGUAUGAUACUUGAGGUGUGCACCAAAGGGUACCCCAAUUUUGUAAAUGAGGGAGAAUGAAUGCAAAAUUGACCACCACACACGCGUGCGCGCCGAGUUGGGCCUUGGGCCUUGGCUUUGGCUACAUGGUGUAUUAUUUUUUAGCAUAUGAAAAUUAAUAAAUUAAUUAUUUAUUUAAUUAAAUGAAUGCUUGCAUUUUUAUCUCUAAUUGAUACAUUAAUUAUGUAAUUGCCCUCCAGCGAGUCAACAUUUAACAUUUGAUCCAGUCAGUUCCUUGCCCCCCGAUUUCGCGCUUCAGUUUUGUUGGUCAAAACCCUAAUCACUAGUCAUGCGCGUCUGUUAUUGUCUGAUCACAUUUUCGUGGUCAAACAAAUCGUGGCACACGUUUAUGUGGUCAAAUUUUAAUAUCAGAGCAUAAUUUUAGUGAGUCAUACCUAAUGGAUCACACAUUUCUCUCUGAUCCAUUUACGAAUUUCCUCUAUAAAUAUAGGGCUCUCCUCAGUUGAAAAAGCACAUCAAAAGCUCUCUGUACCUGAGGCUUUUCUCUUUUCUCACCUAUCUUACUCACUUCUUCUAUUUCUUUUGAUUGUUCUUAGUGCCAUAUUACGAGUGGUAGUCAUUCGACUGCCAUAUUAAGGGUAUAAUUCUAGAACGGUUUUCUACAAUGCAGUAGAACUUCAAUACAGUGAUAUGAGUUGUUUUAUUAUGAGGACUUCGUGGUUGGUAGUCUAACUUGCACAAUUUGGACAGUUCCUCGAAAAGUCUUAAAGAAAUUGACCUAGUCCGCGACUCAACCAAGUAAUAUUGUUGGUGGCAAAAAUUGAAAUUUUGUAUUAUUUAUUUUAUAAUUUCUCAUAAUUUUUUAUACGCAUGCCAACAUUUAUAAUAGUCUGCCUUCAUGAAGUCUUUUAUCUUAUUUCAUUGAGCCAACAUUUAUAAUUAUAAAUUUAUAAUAUUGUAUUUGUAGGCAUAGGUAAAUAUGUAAUAGGUAAAAGUAAUGAAGAGUGAAAAAUUAUCCAAAAUAAAUAUUUAUUUUAUAAUUUUAGCUUAAUAAAGUAAAAAGUAUUAGAAGUUAGUCAAAAGAUAAAAGAAAAAUACUUAAUAUAAUUAAACAAAUAAGGUUUGGACAUUAUUAAAGUCAAAGUAUUUUGGAUUAUGAUAUUUUGAAGAUUGUCUCUUUGCUUAUAAAUAAGUACAUACUGUUUAAUUGUAUGGUAAGAUACACAAUUUGCUUUUCUGUGAAGACCAAUCCUUGCUAUUAUGGAAAAUAUAUAUGUCAAAAAUGUUAAUGAAGUUAAUAGCGUUACUUUUAAUCAUUGCAGGUGCUAUGGUUGUUAAUGCAGAUAUACCACCAUGUUGUGAUUUUGGUGGUUCAAUGUGCGAACCAAUUGCAUGUAGUUCGUGGCCAUGUUGCCGUCGCCCUCCGUCUAGAGAUAUAAAGUCUUAAAACAAUUUCUAUCUCUUCUAUUUUAGCACCAAUCAUUUUGUAAUAAAUGAAGUCUAUAUCAUGUAAUAAUUGCAUCAAUAAGAUUGGUUAAUAAAAUAUCAUUUCUUCUUCUCUG